RNAcentral lists this long non-coding RNA (62167 nucleotides) under Capsicum annuum. RNAcentral's name for it is "long non-coding RNA (CANN_LNC017751)". Lineage: Eukaryota; Viridiplantae; Streptophyta; Magnoliopsida; Solanales; Solanaceae. The record is from RNAcentral.
ACUGUUUGAAAUAUCUUUUGACUAACUUCAAUAAGAUUGAUUGUUGAAAAGUGAUUGAUUUUAGAAAAAGAUUUGUGUGAAACAAAUUUUGACGACUUAGUAGGUAUUUUAACUAAGUCUAAACAAAUGAAAGGAAAAUAAGCACAUAAAAGGGGAAUGAAAUAAAAUAAAAGACUUAAGUUAUUGGGCCCAAAUCAACGAAACUUGUCCUAAUCUAAUUGGGUUUUCGAUGUAUUUUCACCUGUCCUAAUUCUAUAUAUUCGAGCCAUUUUAGCCCAAAAUCUGCUUCACCUAUAUUAAAUUUACAACUUUGGCUUCAAGGCCCAAAUUAAUGAAUAAUGAAAUAAAGAAAUAAGACACCAAAUAAAUAAAUACAUGAGACAACUAUGAAUAAAUAAAUAAACAAAAAGAGACUUUCUAGUUUCUUUGCCUCUUCAAAGAUGGGACUUUAAUCCACUCUCCUUCUUUCGAUUUCUGUAUCCAUUUGCCAUGAGAUCAAUGUUUGGGCUUUUUCUCUAGGAAUUGACUCGGGGUCAAAUGGGCCUCAAUGACCCACAACAGGCAUGGAAAUGAAAAAAAAGAGUCCAAAUAGGACUCGGGCAUGUCCAUAUGCGAAAGAAAAAUAAAGUAAUUAAUAGAUAUCCAUAGAUCAGUACUUUAACGGUAUCGUUAUAAGGGAAUUUUUCGCGCAUAAGGACAAUAGUAAGUCAUGAUAUGAAGAGAGACAACUUAUGCAAUAAAAGGCAAUUGACCUAUAUCUUAAACAAGCUCAAGAAUUAAAUCGAACGCAGUAUGAUUAACUAAUUCAAACAAGUUGAACGCAGUGUGAUUAGAUAAUUCUUGAGGGGAGGAACAUGAUGUUUAGAACAAUAAGAGAAGAACAAUCAUAACAAUAGUAACAAUAACAGGAGAAAGGAAAAUAAAUUUAUUUGGGAUCAGGUCUAGUCCUUUUAAAUUUAUGGUAGAAUUUAUCGUUUCUCUUUGGAAAAAAGAUCAAACACAAUGGGCAAGCAUGUGGAGAAAAGCCCUGCGUAGACCUUUUGUUCACAACUACAAAUACCCAGUUUAUAUUCCUUUCUCCAACCUUCAAAUUUCUCCUAAAAAGAAAUUCUCAACCAACUUCUACAAAUCCAUCUAAACCUCAUCAGUAAAUCUCUUUAACCUUAAACACCAAAAUACAAAUCAAAUCUCAAAACCAUACUUUAAGGUUCCAUCAAAAGUAAAAAAACAGGUGAAUCUUGGAAAUCAUUCAGGGUUCUUUCAAAUUACUCAUCUUUACCUAGUGUCACCACGUGCCAAAAAUUAUGUAAAACAAAAUUCACAUAACCAUGACCUUAACAAUAUAAAGCAAACAAAUAUUCUGCCUAAAGUUAAUAUUAUUGCUAUACCCUUCUUUUCUUGCUCUAUGAAACUAUAAGCUACGAGCAUCAUUAAAUUGAUAAAUACAUAUUUUUAAUGACUAGUUUACCAUUUGAUCAAAGGGCUCUGUAAACUAUGUUCAAGUCAUACAAAGAUCGAUUUAAUCAAAAUCCUAAAGACAAACUAAAAAAAAUAUCUUGAAAUUCAACUAAUAAUUGAUUCAUCUUCGCCUUUUCUCGACAAGUUCUGGGAACUUUGAGUCGACGUGUCUCCUUAAAGGGUCAAGAGAUGAUAUGAAACCAAUAUAACAUAUCCUUUGUCUCUUUUUUGACAUUUUUUUGUCAAAAAAGUUUUAGGAAAGUUCCCAAUUGACCAUGAAAAUCCAAAGAUAAAUUUGAAACAAAGCAUGGGAGAAGCGAACCACUAAUAACAUUGAACUGCGAACCACUAAUAACAUUGAACUCAAGUCACAAGCAGAAACUAAAAAUAGUUAAUAUUCAACCAAAUAACUAACAAGUAAGACCGUCAUGCUCAAAAUAAAAGCAAUAUGCUGCUAACUUAGCAAAAUUGAUGUUUGCAGGGAUUUCAAAGGUGAAUCCAUAACAAAAUUAUGAUUUUUAGAGUUUGGAAGAAAAUUAUGAGUUGGACCUUCAAACAAAACAAAUACAAAACCAUAGUCUUAAAUCUCGCAACGAAGAAAAUUUAAAUCACUACAAUGAAUCAAAUGAAAGAAGACAAAACAAAUUGUUCACAAUAUAUUCUAAGAGGAACCUUAAUAGCUAACCAACAAUUAUUAACACAGACAGUGAGUUCAAAACUACAAAAUCAAAAUAUCCAAAAUCGAUGAUGGAGCAAACACUGCAGUAUGCACAUUGAUUCAGCAAAACAACAUAACAACAGCCAAUAUAAAUAAAUCCUAAAGCCAUCAAAGGCGUCUACUACAAAUAACCCCAGCCACUACGAUUACGAAACUACAAAGAAAGAGAUGAAGAAAAGAAAAAACAAUAACAAAACUAAAAGGAAGGUGAGUUUACCUUCUUUGGAGCAGCAAAAUGGAAAUACGAGCUUUGUCAAAGUCCGCCACCAACGGGGAAUGUUGUCAUCAUCACUUCAAAAACUCUACUUAACUGAUGAAUGCCCAGAAAUGAAGAUUUUACUAAUCGGGACUGUAUUUUUCUUUACCAAACACUUUCCCCCUUUUUUUUUCUUUUCUUCCUCAUUUCCCCCUAUAAAAAACCCCUUUUCAGCUCACUGUGAGCUUUUUAUAAAAGGAUGUCCAGUUCCCCUUUUGGGGUUUUAUCCGAUGUGGGAUCGAUUUGAACGGGGGUGAUUUCGGGAUUCUAAUGAACAUAUUUUUUCGUAAUUCCCACCGAAGACAAGAUUUCCAACCAAUAAUUUAUACUAAUUUGGAUUUUCUUUAACAAAUUCAAAAUCGGUGGACCAAUAAAAACUUGGGAAAACUAGUUAUCCUUCAGGACCAAUGAAAUUCUACCAAAUAUGUACGAAUUCGUACAAGUUAAUUCGAAAUUCUCGAGAUUUAAACAUUGGAUGAGACACCUAGGCGUGUUUCUAUAAGAUCCUUGGCGUCUUCCUCGCACGGAUAGGCGUGGGACGCGUGACGAAGAUAAAAAAGGAUGGGUUGGUUGCGGAUCUAUGGAUUCCGGUUAAUUUGGACGGUUUAGAGUUGGUUUGGCAUCGGGUUAUCGUGUUUUGGAGUUGUCUUUGGUUCUUGGCUGUUUUGGUCGAUGUUGAAGAUUGUUAUGGCGGUUAUUUGAAGGGGAUAAUGGAAUGGGCUAGGUCGAGUGGAGGAAGUGUUGGGCUGGUAUGUGUUUGGUUGGAGUGGGCCAAAAUUAUUUAAUGAAAUUAGGCUGCUGAUGUUGUUAAUUGGGUAUAUUAGGUUUUGGGGUUAUUUUCCAAAUAACCCCAAUUAGACUAGGGGUUCAAAAACUAAUUUCAAUUAGGAAUUAGCUCAUUCUACUUAAAUUAUGAUCAAAUUAAAAGUUAAUUGGACAAUUGCACUGCAAUUGUGGUCAAUUUAAUUUAAAUUAUGACCAAAUUUAAUAUAUUAGUCAAAUUAAAUUGAAAUUUGAUACGAAUUAAUUCUUCAUUUAAUCCCGAGCUUUUUUAUUUAAUAAAAUCAAACGUAUAUUUAUCCCAAUAAAUUAUAUUUAAAAAUAAUGAUUUGAAUCAUUAUAUUUAUUUUCAAAAUAAUUCUUAAUUAAAAUUCGAUAUUCUAUAGAAUAAAUAUUUAGGUAAUCAAAUUAUAUAAUCUCAUAUAACUGAACACGAUAAUAUAUAAUCGCUACUUAAAAUGAUAAAAUUGCGUACAAAAAUAUUUUGAAAAGUUUUUAUUUGGAUGAAAUAAAUAUUUUGAUUUUAUUAAAAUUGAAGAAACUCAGAAUUAAAUUUAGUCGUGGAGGGAAAAAAUUUGGUGUCAACCAUGGUUACUCAUAAGUGGACUCUCUUGUUUCUAUCUCAGUCAUAUACUCACCUUAAUGUCAUUGCAUGCAUUCAUGAAUUAACUCAGUCAGUCACCAUGUUUCAGACUCAGUCAUGUAAUCAUGUUUACAUUUAUGCAUGUUCAGUAUGUAAUCUCAGUUCCUUUAGUAUACUCUGCUUAAUUAGUCUCAUUCGAGGAUGAAUCUUUCCAAGGGGGAGAUAUUGUAAUAUCCCAUACUUUUGUUAGUUUAGUUCAACUUUUUCUACAUGCAUAAGAGGCUUAGAACCUUAAAAUUUAGCUAAAUGUUGGAGACUUAGUUUUAUUUUUGGCCUCUUAACUUUGAUGAUUUUUAAUUUGACCUUCUUGACCCCAAGACGUAAGUUUUUGAGUUGAUUCAUCUUCAAGGGUUUAAGUAGCACGUCUCGGGUGAGUUUCAGAUUUUUUGGAUGAGGUUUGGAUAAUGUUUGGGUUUCCAAAAUAGCAGCUCACCGCGAUUGCACCGCAUCAUGGUGGCUAUAGACAUGGAAUCCUUGGUGCAUCGCGGUGAGAGCCCAAAUGGCAUUCUAGUUAUGAAUUUUAAUCUUCAGGGGUAGUUUAGUCUUUUUCCACCACCCAUAAAUUGUGAAAACACGGGAUUAAACAGCUGAAAGGGCAUAUUUUGCCCAGAUUCCCCAAUUUCAUUCAACAAGAAACCCUAAACUCUCUAAUUAUUCAUCAAGCUAAACCUUCCCCCCUCCAAGAAAGAUCAAGAAUUGGGGUUUCCAAGCUAAGAACAUUCAAGCUUAUAAUAUUCUUCAAGAUUUAAUCCUUAGAGGUAUGUUAGAUUUUCAUCCAUGGGCCUAUUUCACCCAUGGAGUCCAAGAAUCCAUCUUUUAUGUUUUAAAUUAUGAAAUUACAUGUUUAUAAUGAUUUAUCUCCAUGAAGCUUUUAUGAAUUUUGAUUAUACAUGACGUUUACAAUCUAUUUUCGUUGAAAGCAGCCCUUACACAUUUGAAGUAUUAAAUUUCAUUGUUAAAUCCCUAAUUAUGGUUUUAGUAUUGCAAUUAUGCUUUUCCCACAUGUUUCACUCAUUCCUAUGCUUAAGUCCAUGAAUUUCUUACCGUUUAAAUUUCAAGUUCAGAUUAUAAAUUGUUUCAAGUGGAAUGCAUUAUAGAAUGUUUUAAAUAUGGUGGUUUUCAUAUCAUGUUCAUGAGAAUUAAGAAUAAAUCCUCAGUUUGUGAUCUUGUCAUGUGAUCAUGCUAUCACAUCAUGUUUAAAGGUAUUCCCAUGUUUAAAUUUAUGUCUCCCAUGUGUUUGAUGAAAUGCUUAAGCGAGUAAUUGUGAACAAUGAUUUCCUUUCUAGGGUUUCAAAUGCUUUUAUGUGUCCUUAUUGUUAUUGCUAUUGAGUAUUGAAGGUUAUGAAUACCCAAAAUUUAGCUGUUUACUUAGUCUCAGGAUUCUCAUAAUAGUUUCAGACACGUAUGAGCAUUAUCAGUUCAAACAGUUACUAUGUUAGUCAAACUUAGAUCAAUUCAGUAAUUCGAGUCAAUUCCUUCUUCAGUUAAAAUUAUUUCAGUUUCGUAAUCAAUGUCAUUUUAGAUGGAGUAGGAUUCAGCACUGAGUAAACUAGGGAUGGGGGCAUUCCCUUUAUCAUAGGGUUUGACCCUUAGUAGCAAUCUUUGAGUUACAAAACUAAUUAGCCAACGUAGGUUUGAGAUGGGUUCCUUCUAGUUUAGGGUUAACACAUAUUUUAUGAGUCUUCUAUUAGUUUAGGGUUGACAAUAUGUCUUCCUUCUAGUUUAGGGUUGACACAACCAUUGUUAGUACCCUUGACACGGUAAUAGCACCCUUCCAACUGAGGUCACAGGUUGGACCCUGAUCAGCUCAGCUUUGGGGCAUAUUGGUUAGAUAAUACAUGCUACAGUUUUAGUUUCAGUAUUCAGUUCAAAACUCAGUUCAACUUUGCUUGACCAUAACAUACAGUUUAUCACUUAUUUAGUUAUUAAAUAUCAGUAUUUUAGUUUAUAGACUAUUUCAGAAUCAUGUUAUAUGCUUGGUCAUGCAUUCUCAAAUAUUACAACAUUUACAUAUUUAUAUCAUUAUCCAGUUAUUUCAUGCUAUUCAUUCAUUAAGUUAUUAUUCAUACACAUGAGUCCAUACAUAUCAGCCUAACCUCAUCUAGCAAACUAGUGCAUUCAAAGUACUGACGGCAUGCUCGUUUUUUGCUCUAUGAUGUAUCAUAUCAUAGGUUCGGACUCUCAGGUUCCCCUCUACACUAAACAUUUCUGUGCAUCAGCAGCAGCAACAGUGGUGAGUCCUCAUAUUUUGAUGGUCGAUUAUGUUUAUUUUAGUACUUUAGUCCAGUAGUUAGUCGGGGUUAGUUUGGGACAUGUCCCAUUAAAUCCAUGGUUAUUCAGUCAGAGGCUUUGAAAUAUUUUCAAAAAGUUAUCAAGUUUUUAGUUGAUUGUCAGUCUUUACGUUAUUACUUUCAGAUAGUUGUUUCAUAUUUUAGAGUUCAUUAAUGUCUCAGUAUUAUAAAACCUUAUGACAUAUUCAGUUAUUCCACAUCUGAGUAUAUUUUAUUAGCAGUUUUGUUUAGUGGUCACAGCAGGUACCAGCUCAUGGGUUAGCAUAUGGUCACUUGUAAAUGUAAGCACCAUGUGGCGCCCAGGGUGUACUCCCGGGGUGUUACAGUAUAAUAAUGUUUUGAUAAUUUUUUUUGUUUUAGUAAUUUUCUAUGUUAAUAUACAUCAAUUUAUGAUAUAUAUUUUUGAUAAAUUUUAUAUAGAUUCGAAGCUAAUAGAGAGUUGUUUGGUAGAGUGUUCAACUAAAUAUUCCAAUAAAAAAUACAUGUAAUUUCAUGCUUGUUGUUUUUGGAAAAACAUAAGGGAUGAAAAGAAUUUAAGAUAAAUAUUUAUGCUAUAUAUCAUAUUACUCCAAUGUAUUGAUUUAUAUUUUCAUAUAAUGAAGUGCAGCAAUACUUUUUAUAAUUUCAUUCUUUUAUUUUUCAUCAUACAAUAUUGUCUCAUAGAGUUAUAAGAAAAUUAAAAUGUUAUAUUUCCUUUUUCAAUAUGUGUUGUUUGUAGUUUUAUUUUAAUCAUAUGGAUCCAAUGAAUAAUUAAUGAUAACAAAUCAUUAAAUUUUAAACAUACUAAUAGGUAAAGAGUUGUGUCAAAUCCCUGCUUCUCUCUUGAGAUCCGAUUUCAAUUUCGAUAAUUUCUUGUUCUCAUGUAAUAAGUUUCUAGUUCUUGGUUUAUUGUUCAAUGUUAUGCAAUUUAUAAUUCCAAAAUAUUUGUAAUAGCUUGAAACAACAAAAUGAACUGUUCCUUCGUACCUUUUCCAAUUACCAAGUUUAAUUAGGGAAAUUUAUAACUUCUUUGCUAGUUUGGCUUUAUGGAUAACUUCAAAAAUUGCUCAUCAAAUAUUUAAAUUAAAUAGUAUGACUUGUCAGAGUUUUGAUUCAAUCACAAAUUUUUCCAUUGUUUCGAGACUCAUGCUAAUUUAUUUAGAUUUGUCAUGUUUAGGUGAAUUAUUAAUAUAAAAUCGAAAUAUUUUAGAUGUUUUUUUACCUUUCAAUCUUUAUAUAGCAAUGAAAGUGUAACGACCUAAUAAUUUGAUGAAUUAUGUAAAAUUUGUGAUUUUACAUAAUUUGACUAUUUUACCCCUCUCCAUAGUUGCAUUAUAGUAUUUCUGGAGUGUGAGAGUGAUUGACAUGUUUUUCGAUGCAUUUUGGUAUCAUUUAUGUGAUAUUGUUGUUUUUGAAUGUCUUCGAGAGUCUUGUUAGAGACUUAAGAGGAUAUCUUUUGAUCCGAGCAAUGGAUGGCCAUAAAGACUGCUUUAACAAUGUCGAAAUAUCGAUUUUAGGCUGGGUAGACCUUUGGUUCGGGUUUCGGUGCACCCGAGCUUAUUUCGACCUAUUGAUCGGAAAGUUGAAAAAUUGAAAAUAUAGAUAUGGGACCCACAUUUGAUCGAAACAACCUUGGAUGGAAAAUCCAAAUUUGCCAACAGAUUUGGAAUGUCGAUUUUAGGGUGUUAGCAUGUUUUGUAUGAUUUUACGGCUUUUAAAUUUCAUUUCACCCUCGAUUUGAAAAAUUAUGAUUUUAAAUUUCGGGGAUCAACUUUGUGAAAAUGAUAUUUUUAAAAAAAAAAUUGAUAUUUUUUUUAAAAAAUCUGAUAUCUCCAUCGUAUCUGGAACAUCAAAUUUAGGGUAGUUACAUAGUUUGUUUGCAUAUAUUGAACUCCGAAUCAAUUUUGGACACCCUGUCGAAGUGUGAGUUGGACAUUUUAAAAAAAAACUCUUAGUGCAUAUUUUCUGCUAUAUAUAUAGCAGAUUUUUCCCCUUUUGGACUAUUUUGCUCAUUUUUCAUCUUGUCUCUUGAGAGUUAUACCCCAAAAUAGUGUGAGAGCUUAAAAGUGAAGUUUGUGAGAGUUUGAGAAGCUAGAUUAACACCCAUUUCUUGGUUUUAUACCGGUUUAAGGUAAGAAUUCACCCUUUUCUUAGUAAUUUCUUGAUUAAUUUCUCAAAAUCCCAAAAAUCUUAGGGCAUGAUUUUAAAUCAAAAUUUUACUGCUUUUUCACUUGAAUAAUAUUUUUACCUUAUAAUUACUAGUUUUUCAUCAAUUUAACCUUCAAAACAUCUAUGAUUCUUGAUUUUAACCUGAAUUUCAAAGAUUUUACCCGGUAAAGUUCAAAAUACUUUUUCUUCUAUUUGAACCUCAUUUUUGACUCAAUUUAACUUGGAUUUUCAGCCGUAGAUUCCUAAAUAUAUGGGAAACAUGUUCUUGAAGUGAAGUUCUGAUUUUGUCCUUCUCUUUCAGAAACCCAUUUCGGGGAUCCGUUUUGACCUCAACCAAAAAUAGUCAAUAUGAGUGUCGUUGGUUUUGUUUUGAUGUGUAAAUUUCAUAUUUAAUAUUUUUAGUGGAAUUCAGAAUCAUUCAUGGAAUGUAUGAUCGUGGGUUCAAAGUAUAGCGGAUGAAUUUCGAUUUUUGAGGUAGGUUAUGGCUUAACUCUUUCAGACUUGGUUGGGUAGUAAAUGAUGAUACAAAAUGCAUGUAAAGGGUGGGAACUAAUCAUGAAAAAUGGCUAUUCAUGUUAAUUAUAAUUGUCAAAAUUGAGUUAUUAUAUGAUAUGUUUGACCGUGUGGGGGUCCAAUGUGAUAUUAAAAGCCUUGAAUACAUGUGAAUAUUUGUAUUGUGUUGUUAACAUGCUUAAUAUGGUACCAUUGGUGUAUUAUGAUAUUCAUACUUUAUUUGGCAUAUGAGACAUGUAGAAAUUCGUAGAUAAAAAUGAAAUAAUGAAUGGAUAUUGGCUCACAUGGUUGUGGAAAUAUAUCAUUGUGGUUGGUUGUGAAACUACUCAUUGUGAUUAGUUGUGAGCAUUACAUCCUCAUAUCAUACUCAUUCAUGAAACAUUGGUACCACUGUGGCAAUAUAUCAGAAACACUGUUAACACCUUUUUAAAACCCUCCCUGAAGGAUGUGCUGGGGAGUAGAUAUUGUAACACCAUAUAAAACCAUUUUUGAGGGAUGUACCGGAAAGGAGAUAUGAGAUAUGUCGAUUGUAUAGGUUUGAUGAACCCCCCUUGGGUCCUACAUCGGGAAACUUUAGAUCUAUAGGUGUAUAUGGGGAUUGUGCGAUAAUCCCAGAGGUUGUGCGGCGACCUCGUGCAUCAUCAUCAUCAUCAUCAUUAUCAUAUACAUUGCACUUACUUUAUUGUGUUAUGUUGUGAUGUAUUGGUAUAUUGACUUGUCAUCAAUGUAUUUGUCGUAUCUUAUUUUACUUGUAUUUGAUGAUUUUAUACGUGCAUGUCCCCCUUUGUUCUUCUUAUAUAUAAUAUAAUACAUACUUUUGUUCUAUCUUGGUAUGAUGUUGCAAAAUAUAUGAGAUAUAUGAGAACUGUUAGUGCGGUGUGGGCUACCGUUGUGGGACAUUUUCUGAUUGUAGGUGAUGUGCCCUUAGUGUAUAUUUUGUAUGCUUUAUUUACUACAUUGCUUGGUCGGCCUAUGAUACCUAUUGAGUACAAGUGGACCGUUCUCAUGCCUACUGUGCUCUUUCGGUGCAGGUCCUAGCUCAAGUGCGCCUCAACUUGCUUGACUCGGGCAAUUGUUGGAGCUUUUAAGGUAGCAGUUGGAUAUUCAUGCGUCUAAAGUUUACCUCUAUCUUCUAUAGUAGUUAUGUCUUUAUUAGUAUUCAGAGACAAUUAUUAUUUCUUUGUGGUUAUUUUUCUGAUGUAUUUGACUCUUGGAUUGUAUUAGUAGUUCUUACAUUAUUGACACCUAAUUUUGGGUAUGAUUGGUAUUUUGGAUAAGUUUUUUCUACAUUGUUAUGAUUAAUUAUAUGGUUCGGCUUCGUUCUAGAAGCCUUAUCAUGGGAUAUUUCUGUCUUUUCCUCUUUUCAUAUCAGUUUGGGUGAUAGGCUUACUUGUCAAGGUACACCGCGUCAAGUGCCAUCAUGACCUUUAUUUUUUAGUGUCGUGACAAAAAGUUAAUUUAGAAUAUUUACUAUCACAACCCUCUUUGUGGUUACAUAUGAGUCCAAAAUUUAAAAUCUUAUGUCCAAAUUCUCCCUAAUUUAGAAGAUAUAAAUAUUAGGCUAGUCUAGUUUCGAUUGAUUUCAGAGUGAGGUGUAGCCUAGUGAAUUUGAAAAAUGAUUUGGACCGGUGUAACACCCCACAUUUCGAACUAGAAAUUAAACUGUUGUUCCUACAUGUGUAAGCUCUAAUAGAAAUUAUUUCCAAGUGAGAAUAAGUGGCAUGAUCUUUAUCCUCGUGUUUGUAGGGCUUUCGAGGUAAAAAAAUCUUUAUAGAAAUCACUUAGAGCGAAGUUGAGCUAAGAACCUUUUAUUUGGCUAAAUCUUUGUAUUCAAUUUUACAAGGGUAUAUUUUGAAUGUGAAUAACUUUUGAUACAAAUAGAAUUUUGUAAAUCAAGACCCACCAAGUUGUAGAUAACUAAGUCUGCUUUCCAAUGAUAUCAAUUUUUCCAUAAUCUGAUACCCAAGCAAAAAGUUAUAGCCAUUUUCGUGAGAAAGGCUAUGAGGUCACACGAUUAGCAUGCGGCGCAAGCUCCAUUUCACCCCUGGCGGAGCCCGUGAUAGAGCAUGCGAUGCAGGGUCCAUUUCGGUGCUCCAUAGCAUGCAACCAAUGCUCUACUUCACCCAUUAUUUUCCAGUUUUUGUUUUUGUAUAAUUGGGGGCAAUAGGGUCAUUUUUACGCUCUCAAAGAGCAUUUGUUAAAUCAUUAUUCUCUCUUCCUCUUCAAGAAAACCCUAAGCCCCAAAUAUCAAGAAUAAAGCUCUUAGGUUAAGGUUUCUAAGAAACAAAUCAAGCUUCAAGUUUUGUUCUUCGAACUAAGUUAUAUAAGGUACAUGGGACUAUUCUGAAAAACUCUAUGGGAAUAAGUUAUGGUUUUAUCAAUAUUUUUAAAGCAUGUUAUGAUGUUUAUAAUGAGUGUUUGAACAAUUGUUUUGAAUAAAUAAAUCAUGAAAUCUUUUUCAAUGAUAUAUAUUGUUUUGGUCUUGAAACCUUCCCUUGAAAUUGAUUUUUACUCGUACAUAUGUAAGUAUGUAUUUUUAGUUUUGCAAAAAUUAAAUUAAGACAUGAUUGACGAAACCCCUCUCCUGUCACGAUACCUCUUGAUUUCACAUUAUGUGGGUUAUUCAAUUGCAUGUCUUGAAGUAUAAGAUAAGUGUUUUACUAUAGUUUUAGACUUGAUAUUGAUUAUGAAUUAAAGAAAGGGUGUUUUCUUAUUUAUAAAUGUUCAAUGUGAUAAUUGAAAGAUUUGCAUGGAUUUUUAUAAAGUAAUUGACCAUCAUGUGUUGAAAUAUCGAAUAGGGAUAAUCUUUGCAUAAGUUUGCACAUGUUAUGAAAUAAGGACUCCUGUGCAUUGUUAAAUGUUUUUGGUGGUUAAACGAUUGAGUUAAUUGAAGAUCUAAAGCUGAAAAUUAUAAAUGGUUUGAAUGAAAAGGGCUACAGAAUAAUAUGAUACAAAUGACUUGCAAAUCAGGGUAUGACAAUACUCGGUGAUGAUAUGCCCUUAACAGAAUAAGUAUUGAAUAUUUUAAAAGAAUGAAGCAUGUUUUAGAGAAUUAAAAAUGGCCUUAAAGAGAGUUAGAUGGUUACCCGAAGAAAGUAUCAGUUGAAAGACUCAAUGCUAGAAACUAUGAUUUGCUGACACGGGAUUUUUUGGACCAUACUUUGUGAUCUUGUGUACCUUGAUUCAUGUCGUCCCAAAGUGGGACCAUGGUUAGGAGCGCUACUUUGUUAUCUUAUGCACUACCAUAAAUGUUGAUUUGAUUGGGGAUUUUUGUACCUUGGUUUGUGAUCUUGCGUUUCCCCGUUAUAGAUACUCCAACCUUUGUGACAAACUUGGGUUGGAGGAUUGGCCGCCGAGUUAAGAGAGGAUUCCAUAUAACCCGUGGAAUUACAGAUUGUAGGGUAUACCAUCUAGCUCAGAAGAGAAAUAGCAAGUAGAGUCAUGAUCUCAAGAAAGUAUUUUUGAAAUUUAUCAAAUUAUUCCCAUGUGUUUUCUUAGAUAGUAUGUAAACUAUUUUAUAAAUUGCUAUCACUUAUGUUGUAUAAAAUACAUUAUUUUGGUUUGAUCUAUGGAACAACACACCUAUAUUGACCCCCUAUAUUUCAGGAUUUGAGGCACAAUCCCGGGGUCUCGCUAAGAAGUAGAUUGGUGUGUCAGAGAUUUGCAAUUGGUGAGCCUCCCCUAUUUCGGAAAGCCUAGUUGUUAAACUUUGUUAGUCAAAUUUGGAGUUAUAGUCCGACUAGGGGUCUUGUCACAGUUUGUAGACAGAUGUUGAUUUUCAGUUAGUAAAGAUUUCGUAGACUAGUGUCAUGUGUUUUGAAUGCUAAGAAAUUCCUUUCGCUUUGAUUAGUUGAGUUAUGAGAUUGAUCAUGUUUCCGUAUGUUAAUAUUUUGCAUUUCUUUACAUUAUAUGAACUUUGUGUAUGAUAGCCAGAUAGAAAAGGGCACUUAAGCCUUCAUGGUUUGGGAUGCUUGUCGCGGCUAGGGCCCUAGCUUGGGUUGUGAAAAACUUGGUAUCAGAUCACCGUUCAUGGUCCCAGAGUGUCUGCAAAAUCGAUUUGGGUACAGUUCUAUUUUUGGGUGUGUAGCAUGCCACACUUAUAAGUAGGAGGCUAUAAGGCAUUUAGGAAUGUAUCUUUUUUUCAUGAUUUAGUUCGUGCUAUAAAGUUUGAAUGUCCUUUAAUCAAUGAUUUCCUAUAUUUUAAAAAGUUAUCAUACCUCCUCAUAGAUCCAACGAAUAGAAUGCCCAAGCUUAAGGACGUUCGUCCUACUCAUGGGAUGUGGACCCAUAAUAGAGCUUAUAUCCUAAAGUUUGUUGCUACUAUGAGAGUUCCUCUAGUUUUGACUAGUCCAUCUCUGGCUCCACAGACCGGUGUUAAUCGUCCCCAACCUUCUCAGAGGGAAGUUUCAAAUACUAAGUUCCAAUAGUCCAUCAAUAUGAUUACUCAGCUGGUGGCCUCCCAAACCCAUCUGUCUGAGGAUGUGGGUUAUGUGUCUAGUUCAUCUGAGAUCACAUGAGUUGGUCAAUUCAUAAGGUUUAACUCACCUAUAUUUGUUGGCACGAAGGUUGAAGAAGACCCCCAAGGGUUCAUUAAUGAACUGGAGCAAUUUUUUAGAGUUAUGCAUAGGAAUGAGGUUGAAGGGGUUGAGUUGGCAAGAUAUCAAUUGAAAGAUAUGCCAAAUAAGUGGUAUAAUGAAUGAGAGGAUUCAAAUGGUAGUGAUGCUCAGCCUUCAUUGUAGGGUGAGUUUGUAGUGGCCUUCCCCUAGGAAUUGAGGGAAGCAAAGGCUGAAGAAUUUGUGAAUCUAAAGCAAGGGAAGAUGAGUGUAAAAGAGUAUACAUUGAAGUUCACCCAACUAUCUAGUUAUGCUCUAGAAAUAGUGAGUAAUAUGAGAGUUUGCAUGAGGAAGUUGGCAUCCAGCCUCUCAGAUGAAUUGGUAUUAGAAUGCUAGGGAGCAAUGCUGAAUAGAGAUAUGGAUUUAUCUAGGUUAUUUGUUCACAUGCAGUAGGUUGAAGAACAGAAAAAAAUCUAGCAGGGGUGAGGAAGAAAGACAGGCAGUCCAAAAGGGCCUAGUCUAUAGACUAAAAUAAUAUUCUGUCCCAAGGUGGUAAUUCGGGAAAUAGGUGGUCUAAAAAGAAGUCUUGGAGUAAUGCUCAGUCUUCAUCAAGUGCACCUGUACCCAGUCCUUCGGGUGAAUAGCGGUUCCAGUCAGAAGAUAGGCCUGGAGCCUAUGGUACCCAGUCCUAGGGGAGUGUGACUCAGCCCGCUAGAUCAUUUCCUCAUUGUAUCUUUCUAGGAGGAACCAUCCAGGAAGUAUUAUUUUGAGAAAUGGACUUUCUACUCUUGCGAUCAAGUGGGCCACAUUCAGGAAGACUGUUCUUUAGCUGGAGGAAAUAUAGGGGUAGAUAAGUCCUAAGCCACGUCUUCAGCCCCUCCUUCUAAGGGUACUACUUCAGCCAUCGAUGGUGGUCACAACUGGUUAUAUGCCUUAUCUAACCGCUAUGAUGCGAAUAUCUCACUAGAUGCUAUUACGCUCCCAUGAUGUGUAUGUAUUGGCAUGCUUCAUAUGAUUGGUGUUGAUAGACAAUAAGAUAUGGAGUGUAGUGGUGGAAAUAGUAGCUUAAGAUUGUUAAUGCAUAUUUUAUGGGAAGGAAUUAGUGGGCUUGAUGCAAUAUUUGAAAUAGCUUAGGUUGGCAACUUAUCGAAUAAGAAAAGAGGAUGGGUAUGCUUAUGAGAGUGUGAGUUGUAGGUUGACGGCUAUAGAGGAUAGCAAUAAGAGUAGCGUUCUUGUAAAGAAUGCCUUUAGACCAUAGUUAAAAAAAAGGGAGUUUAGCAUUUAAGUGUAUGGUGAUACCCCAUUGUGUUGAGAGUUGUCUUUAUUGAUUUGAAGAGGGGGUAUGAGUGCAAGUCUAGGAUUGUGACUUUGACCCAAGAGGGAGAUGGUGAAUUAAGGUAGUUCCUAAAUUUUCUCCCAUUCAUGAUGCUUAUGCUCGGGUCACUUAAUGACCCUCCAUAUGUUAGUAUUAUGGUAGUUGUAGAAGCAUAGUAGUGUGUUGGAUGCGGGAGUAGAUGUUCUUGAAGGUGAAAAUCUUAAUGUGAUCUCUUGCGCUAAGGUUAUAAGAGAAAAAGAAAGAAGGAGAUGAACAUUCGCUAGGUGAAAUAGUUAGGAGGGAAAUAUAUGGAAAAAAUCUUUGUGAGAAUAAUUGAAUUUGCUGGUCUUAGUGGAGAGAUCUAUGAAGUCGGGUGCAGUAACGAGAGAUCUAUGAUGCCAUUGAAUAUUUUGUUGAGGAAAAAUGUUCAACAUGAGAAUACUUUCUUUAUUCUACCUUUUUAAAGCUUCAAAAAAUAUCCCUAACCAUCAUUCGGGGAUGCGUGAACCUAAGGGGGAGGUAAUGUAACACCCCGUAUUUCAAACUAGAAAUUGAACUGUUGUUCCUACGUGUGUAAGAUCUAAUAGAAAUUAUUUACAAGUGAGAAUAAUUGUCUUGAUCUUUAUCCUCGUGUUUGAUGUUCUUUUGAGGUGAAAAACAUCUUCAUAGGAAUCACUUAGAGCGAAGUUGAGCUAAGAACCUUUGAUUCGGCUAAAUCUUUGUAUUUGAUUUUACAAGGGACUACUUUGAAAGUGUAUAACUUUUUAUACAAGCAUAAUUUUGCAGCUCCAUACCCCCCAAGUUGUAGAUAAUUGAGUCAGCUUUCAAAUAAUAUCAAUUUUUCCUUAAUCCGAUAUCCAAGCAAAAAGUUAUAAAUAUUUUUGUUAGAGGCAGUGAGGUCGCGCGAUUAGCAUGCGACACACGCUCUAUUUCACCCCUGAGGAAGCCCGCGAUAGAGCAUGUGAGGCACACUCCAUUUCAGUGCUCCAAAGCAUGCAACACAUGCUCCAUUUCACCCCUUAUUUUCUAGUUUCUGUUUCUGCAUAUUUGAGGGAAAUAGGGUCAUUUACCUCUCCAAAAUUGUCCAAAACAGAAGAUUUAAGCCCCCAAAGAGCAUUUGUUACAUAUUUAUUCUCCUUUCCUCUACAAGAAAACCCUAAGCCCCAACUAUCAAGAAUCAAGCUCUUAGAUCAAGGUUUCCAGGAAACAAAUCAAGAUUUGGGUUUUGUUCUUCGAACUAAGUAAUCUAAGGCACAUGGGGCUAUUCUAAAAAACUCUAUGGGCAUAAGUUAUGGUUUUAUCAAUCUUUUGAAAGCAUGUUAUAAUGUUUAUAACAAGGGUUUUAACAAUUAUUUUUAAUAUCAAAAUCAUGAAAUCCUUUUCAAUGAUAUAUAUAUUGUUUUGUUUUUGAGACCUCCCCUUGAAAUUUAUUUUUACUUGUAUAUAUUUAAGUAUGCAUUUUCUGUUUUUCAAAUAUUAAAUUGAGAGCAUGAUUGAUAAAAACCCUCUUCUGUUAUGAUACCUCUUGAUUUCAAAUGUUGUGGGUUGUUCAAUUGCAUGUCUUGAAGCAUGAAAUAAGUGUUUUACUAUUUUUUUGGACUUGAUAUUGAUUAUGAAUUAAAGAGAGGGUGUUUUCUUAUUUAUAAAUGUUCAAUGUGAUAGCUGAAAGAGUUGUAUGAAUUGUUAUAAAGUAAUUAACCAUCAUGUGUUGAAAUAUCGAAUAAGGAGAAUCUUUGCAUAAGUUUGCACAUAUUUUGAAAUAAGGACUCCCUUGAAUUGUUAAUUGUUAUUGUUGCUUAAACGAUUGAGUUAAUUGAAAGAUCUAAAGCUGAACAUUAUAAAUAGUUUGAAUGAGAAGGGCUAUGGAAUGAUAUAAUACAAAUGACUUGCAAGUCAGGGUAUGAUGAUACCCGGUGAUGAUAUGACCUUAACAGAAUAAGUAUUGAAUGUUUUAAAAGCAUGAAACGUGUUUUAAAGAAUUAAAAGUGGGCUGAAAGAGAGUUAGAUGGUUACCCAACGAAAGUACGAGUUGAAAGACUUAACGCUAGAAACUGUGAUUUGACGACACAGGAUUUUUGGUACCAUGCUUUGGGAUCUUGUGUACAUUAAUUCAUGUAGUCCCAAAGUAGGACCAUGGUUAGGAGCCCUUCUUUGUGAUCUUGUGCACUACCAUGACAUGUUGAUUUGAUUGGGGAUUUUGGCACCCUGAUUUGUGAUCUUGUAUGUCCCCCUUAUAGAAACUCCAACCCUUGCGUCAAACUUGGGUUGGGGGCUUGGCCGCCUAGUUAAGUGUGAAUUCCAUAUAGCCCGUGAUAUUACAGAUUGUAGGGUGUACCAUCUAGCUCAGAAGAAAAAUAGAGAGUAGAGUCAUGAUCUCAAGAAAGUGUUUUGAAAUUUAUCAAAUUAUGCCCAUAUGUUUUCAUAUAUGGUAUGUAAACUAUUUUAUAAAUUUCUCUCACUUACGUUGUAGAAAUUACAUUAUUUUGGAUUUCUCUACGUACCAGUACACUUGUAUUGACCCUCUAUAUUUCAGGUUCUGAGGCACAGUCCCGGGGUCCUGCUAAGCAGUAGAUUGGCGUGUCAGAUAUUUGCUAUUGGUGAGCCUUUUCUAUUCCGGAAGGCCUAGUUUUUAAACAUUGUUAGCCAUAUUUUGAGUUAUGGUCCAACUAACGGCCAUGUCCCAGUUUUUAGACAGAUGUUGAUUUUUAGUUAGUAGAGAUUUCGUAGACUGGUGUCAGGUGUUUUGAAUAUUCAGAACUUCCAUUCGUUUUGCUCAUUUGAGUUGUCAGAUUGACCAUGUUUCCGUAUGUUGAUAUUCUGCAUUACUUUACAUUAUAUAAACAUUGUGUAUGAUUGCUAGAUAUAAAAGGGCGCUCGGGCCUUCAUGCUUUGGGAUGCUCAUCCUGGCCAGGGCCCCGUCUCGGGUCGUGACAACUAGAUUAGUAGUAGUGGUCUAGAUUUAUAGCUAUCUAAGAUAUUAAGGAACUAUCACGACCCAAAUGGAGAUGAGUGGCACCCACACUAAUCUUUCUGUGGGAGAAUCAUCUAAAUAAAAAAAUUACCCAAUCACUUAGUCAAUACUGAGAUGACAUUAUCAUAAAAUCAACAUAAUGACAAAAAUCCAAGACUAAUCAUUAUUAAUGCUGAAGUCAAACAAAGUACUUACUAAAGCCCCCACGACCCAAAAUUCAUCGUACAAGAACUACUAACAAAGAUCACGUCUAAAGAGAUAUAAAAAAAUAAAGUAAAUAAAGAAUGUUUCAUUGCCCGAAAGAUGGACAAGAACAAACGAGAUGACCAUGGCAACCCAGAGCUCACCCUUGGAUCAAGUUCUUAUAUCAAACUCUAUAGGUGAGGUCGUGUUUGAGCCUCUGAAACGCUUUAUGCACUUAACAAAAGAAGAGUACAGGGUAGUAUUAUUACAAACCACAAUGUACAGGUAGUCAUCAUAGGACAACUCAACUUAAUAGCAUGUACACAACAUAAAUCAAAUAAUAAGUAAACAGGCAUCGUCAUAUAACAAUAAUUCAAUGAAGCAACAACAUUGCAAUAACAUGUUAAACAAUACUCACAACCAAGCUACUUAACCAUUCAGAGUGUCAACCCACUCUAAAAACCAACAUAAUCAACACAAAUAUGUACAUACAUGCUAUGGGAAUUAUUUUUGCCCAAAAAGUCAUGACCUGUAGGGAAAAAUCUAAGUUCAUGUACAGUACCGAUGUGGUACCCAAUGCAACAUAUACAUAUCUGUAUCGGCAUGGUAUCCAAUCCAACAUAUACAUAUCUGUACCGGCGUGGUACCUAAUCCAUCAUAUACACAUCCAUACCGGUGUGAUACCCAAUCCAACAUAUACAUAUUUGUACUGGCGUGGUACCUAAUCCAACAUAUACACAUCUGUACCUGCAUGGUACCCAAUCUAACAUAUACACAUCCUUACCGGUAUGGUACCCGAUCCAACAUAUACACAUCCGUACCAACAUGAUACCCGAUCCAAUAUAAACAAGUAAUAUCAAUAUCAAAUUUACACUUGCUCACAUCAUACAAUACAAAGUACCAAGUUUACAAGUACACUUAAAGUCAUAAAUCAAUUCCACCAAGUAAAUUUUCAAUAAUCAUUUAUACACGCUUCAAAAAUCAAAACACCAUUAAUUUCAAACAUGUCCAAAUACCAAUCAACAAGUAUCCAAUUUAAGAGUAUACAUACAAUUAAAUCGAGUCUAAACCCCAAUUAAACCAUAACCUACCUCAAUCGAAGAGUCCAAAUGAAAGCUAUUUUGUUAAAUACUUGUCUUUUCAUAAAGUUUCUGAAUGAUCACAACCUAUUCAAAUAUGUAAUCCCCAUAAAAUACAAAAAAUAAUGACACCACCUUAUUAAUUCUUAUUUUAAAAAUUAUAACAUAAGAUUAUUAAAAUAACGAGAAGGCAGAACGUUGAAUGUCUUUGGUUUGCAUCAAAGCUGAUGACUCUUUAAUAUUGUGCUUGUAGCAUCCUUAAUUAUUAAAUCUACUAACUUUCUAUUGCCAAUCAUUGGCAUAUAACAAUUUCCCUAUUUGACAUGCAAAUUAAUACUUCCUCCGUCUCAAAUUACCCAUCCCGUAUUUCCUUUUUUCAUUAAUCAAGAAGAGACAAUUUCUUUUUCAUGUUUUUUCCUUUGCAUUAAUUACUUUUUCUUCAAAUUAAAAUGUAAAUAUCAUUUAAUAAGGGUACUAUGGUAAACCACACAUCUUAUUAAUUAUUUUUUUAAUCAAUGUGUCAUCUCAAUUUGGGACGGAGGGAGUAUUAAAUUAGAAGUUGAAUUCAAAUGCUAAUAAACACAAAAUACACUCCUUCCUCUUUCCACCAUUAUGGCCAAGCAUUAAUGCCAUCAUAGUAAAUUUAUUAAUAUUUUUCAUUAAUCCUACUUUUAAAAGAAAACGUGAAACCAAGUAAAGUAUAAUUGAUUUAAAAUAUUCCCCAACAACGAAUCAUCUAUAGUAGUACUAAAUAGAAUAUCAAUUUUAAGAAAAAUAAUAACCUGAAGUUUUAAGCCGACUGAUUUCUUCUUUGAACUAUAAUGUGAAAACUACUAUAUUCUGCUUCCCCUUUCUGAUGCUGCUAAUAUUAUAAAUGAUAAACCCUACCCACUUAAUUCCAUUAUUAUAUUGACCAUAUAAGUUAAAUAAAUUAUAAUUUUGACCCACUAAAAUGCCAAGUUGAGGUUAUCUUGUAAAAAAUAGGAAAGAUGAGGAAAUUUCACAAAUGACUAGGAGGGUCGUUACAUCAGAUAACAAUUAAACAACUAUUCAUCCCCGAAUGGGAAAACACAAGACAAGAAGGGAAAACACGGAAUUACCUGAAUCCAUAAAAAGAUGUUAUAAUUGCUAUGCAUGUCCUCUUCGGUCUCCUAAGUGGCCUCCUCAAUUCGAUGAUUCUUGCACUAUACCUUCAUAGAUGCAAUCUCCUUAGUCCUCAACUUACAGACAUCCCUAUCAAUAAUAGCAAUAGGUUCUUCUUCAUAAGAGAGGUUUUCACCUAACAUGACUUAAUCUAAAUGAAUUAUGUAGUUACCAUCACCAUGACACUUCUUUAGCAUAGAUACAUAAAACAUAUGAUGAACUCCUGACAAACUCGGAGGCAAUGCCAAUCUAUAGGACACUAGCCCCAAAUGCUAAAGAACCUUAAAGGGUCUAAUAUAUCUAAAACUGAGCUUCCCUUACUUCCUAAAAUGCAUGACACCCUUCAUGGGUGAAACCUUGAGCAAUACUUGCCCGCGCUCCAUAAAGUGUAUAUCUCUAACUUUCUGAUCUGCAUACUCCUUUUUCUUUCUUUGAGAUACUAUAAGUUUCUCCUAAAUGAAUUUGACCUUCUCUAACGAGUCCCUCAACACAUCAGUACCCCAUGGUCUCACCUCAAAUACAUCAAACCACCCAAUGGGAGAUCUACACCUCCCCCCAUAAAAAUACUCAAAUGGUGCCAUAUUAAUACACAAAUAAUAACUAAUAUUAUAUGGAAACUCAGACAAAUCUAGAAAUUGAUUUUGAUGACCACCACAAUCUAUCACACACACAUAAAGCAUAUCCUCCAACACCUGAAGCGUUCACCCGGACUGCCUAUAGGUCUGAGGGUGAAAAGUUGUACUAAGGUCCAACCUUGUACCCAAAUCCUCAUGCAAAUUCUUCUAAAAGAUAGAGGUAAAUUAAGUACCCCUAUUUGAGAUAAUUGAAAUUGGGACCCAUGCAACCGAACAGUCUCCUUAAGAUAAAUAUUGGCCAAAUUUUUUGCAUUAUAAGCCACCUGAACUAGAAUAAAAUAUGCAGACUUCUUCAACCUACCUACAAUAACCCAUAUCAAAUCAUGCUUUCCCAAAGUCUUAGGAAGACUAAUAAUAAAAUCCAUAGCUAUCCUCUCCCAUUUUUAUUCAGGAAUGGGCAUCCUCUGAAGAGUACCACCGCGUAUCUCAUGCUCGUACUUUAUCUACUAACAACUCUGGCAUUUAUCAACAAAAUCAACUAUGUCACGCUUUAUUCGACCCUACUAGUAAUGUGUAAUACCCCACAUAUUUCUAAGCUAGGAAGUGAAUAAGUAUUUCUACGUAUGAAAUGUCCUAUCCUGUGAUUCAUACUUGAGUACAUGAAUUACAAUGAAUAUCCUAGUGAUAGGAUAACUUAUGAUGCAUUAAGAAUGUUCAUAUGGGUCACUUAAGGUAAUACAAGCUAAGAGUUUUUGAAUCCAUCAAGUUUUAGUGUUCGAUUUUGCAAGGGUCAUAUUUGAAUGCAUAUAACUCAAUUUUAAUAUAGUAUUUUGGCAUAUUUAGAUCCACAAAAUUGUAGACAAUCAAAUUAGAUUUCCAACGAUACCAAUUUUGCCUUAAUCCAAUACCCGAGCAAAAAGUUAUGCCCAUUUUUGUGAGAGACAAUAAGGAUAGGCGAUUGGUUAGGUGCCGGCCAACCUAGCUUAGGCAAUCACUUGGGCGCCGCCUAAGUCAGUUCCAGGUGCCAAAAACACUCCGUUUUGAGUUAUUUUAAGGGUAAUUAAGUCUUUUAACACUCCUUACACGUCCCCAAACUUAACCCUACGAAAUAUAUAGCUUCUAAACAUAUUACAACCCUAUUAUCAUCUCAAAACUCAUCAUCCAAGAGCACUAAAAAAGGAAAACAACUAGGGUUGCAUACUAAUCUUGAAGAUCCAAUUUCAAGGAAAUUCCUCCGUCAAUCAUCAAGAAUCUUCCUUCUAAGGUAUGAGUGAGUUGAUUUAUUGAACCCUUUCAUCCAUAAAGGUCAAAAACCCUCUUUUUCAUUAUAAAGUAUGACUUCUAUAUUGUUGGGUGUUAAUGAUCAUGUUGUUGAUAUUGGGUGAUUCCCAAGAUGGAAUCUUUAUAUGUUUUUCUUGAAUUUCAUGAUUUCAUAUGAGUUGGAAACAUAUAAAUUUGGUUGUUCAUGAUGUAUAAUUUGAUGAUNNNNNNNNNNNNNNNNNNNNNNNNNNNNNNNNNNNNNNNNNNNNNCAAAUCCUACUUAUGAACAAGAUGUAUGAUAACCAUGCAAUCCACAUAAACUUCCAUGCUAUUGGUAUGUGUUACCAAUAUGAUUAUGCAAUGAACAUGAUAUUAAGAUUGUGCAAGUACUUCCAUGUAAUAUGAAAUCCUUUCCAUGCAAUACAUUGUUGAUAACCAUACUUAGUAUGAGAUCCCUACUUAUGAUAUUAUAAAUUGUGGACCCCUCUUAUAAUCAAGUCAGUCAUGUGUGUCAGUUUUCUUUCACCGAGUCCUGGGGGUACUUGUACCCAAAAACUAUAGCUGUGUGCCUAGAUCCAUGUCAUGUUUCACAAUAUCCAAACUCAAGCUAUAAUUCCAUAGACUUCAGUCAGUCAAGUUACUCAGGAAAACCUCAUGAUCUUAGUCAGUUGUCUGAUAUUAGUAACAUUCUGCCAGUCAAUGGAAUUCAGUAAGAUUAAGUCUUGCACAGUCAGUUAUUCAUGUCGAGUCCCUCCAGAUGGGAGUAGAGGUUUGCACCGAGUACACCCAAGGAUGGGAACUCACCCGCCAGUGAGUGUGAUUCUUAGUAGUCAUCCUUGUGUUCUAGAACUACGUAGCCAGUGUAGGUUAAGGCAUCUUAACCUAUCACAUUAGGGUUGAUGAGGUGGAUUAAACUAUCAGUUUAGGGUUCCCACCAUUCUCAUUAAGUACCCGCCAGAUAAGGGUCAUUCACAGGAUGUCCUUACCCGUGGCACGGUAUUGAAUCCCUUCCAGUCAGGGCAGAAAUUGGACCCCAGCUUAGCCAUAAUGGCAUACAUGGGGUAUGUCGGUUAAACAUUACUUCCCACAGUUUUAGUAUCAGUCUCAGUAAAAGAACUCAGGGCGUUCUUCAGAUUUUAGAAUAUACAGGACUGUCAGAUACAGUCGUUUAUGUUAUUAGUUUUAGUAUCAGUCAUGAUUGUUAUCAGUAAACUAUGUAUUAGCUUACAGGUCAUGCUAUCAUGUAUUCACGGUCCCAGUUUCUAUAUAUGUGUGUUUGCACUCCCACAUUCAUAUUAGUCAGUCAGUGUCGUUCAUGCAUGAAACCCUUUAUGUUUAGCCUACCUUCCUCGUAUACUUAGUACUCCGGUUGUACUGAUGCAUUUGCGCUAUGGUGCUUUCUUUUUAUGUUACAUCAUAGGUUCUAAGACACGAGCUCCUACCCAGCAGUAGCGGUAGCAUUCCAAUCACGGAGAUACAGUGAGUCCUCAUUGAUUCGAGGACAAUAUGAUUUGAUUUAUUUAUUUAUUUAUUCAGUUAAGUUUUAUGGAGUUAGUUGGAGACAUGUUCUUUCAACUCCUUAUUCAGAUAGUUUAGAGGCUUUCAGAUUUAUGUUCAGAUUUACGUUCAGAUUGAGUUGUUUUGGGUAUUUUCACCCAUAUGGUUUUAUUCAGUUGAACCUUAUGGCCUUAUUAGAGUCUUGUACAUGGAUGUGUUGCGCGCCACAUUUAUGUGUGGGAGGCUAUAAGAUAUUUUAGGAACAGUCCCCUUUCUUCAUUAUUCAUGUCAUGCUAGUGAGCAUAAUCACAAGUUAAACUCUCAGUCUAAUCCAUUCUUCUCUUAUUCCAGACCAUGGCCCCAAAGAGAAUAAACCAGCCAGCUCCUCAGCCCAAAGAUCCUUUGGGCGAACAUGUUUCCCAUGCAGAGUUUAGAGCUGUAUUUACCACACUUGCUCAGUCCAUGGCUGCACAGACUGAAUGGCCACCAGUUAUUUCGACCAAUCCAUUAGCCAAUCCCAAAGCACCUAGGGUUCGGUACUUCUCCCGGAUGAAACCUCCAUCUUUCCAUGGUUCUAAGUCUGAUGAGGACCCUCAGGAGUUCAUUGACCAAGUACAGAAGGUCAUUGAAAUCAUUGGUGUUACUUCUAUUGAGAGUGCUGAGUUAGCCACCUACCAGUUACAGGAUGUUGCUCAUGAUUGGUACAAAUAGUGGAAGUCUGAGAGGUUAGAUGAUACAGGCCCUAUCGAGUGGAAGGAAUUUGUCAUAGCCUUCUUAGUUUUUUUACUUUCACCAAGAGCUAAGGAAAGCCAAAGUUCUUGAGUUCAUCAACCUCAGGAAAGGGAAUAUGAUGGUUAGGGAGUGUUUUCUCUGAUUUACUCAGCUAGCCAGGUAUGCUCCUCAUGUAGUUGCAGAUAAUAGAGCUAAGAUAAGAAAGUUUGUGUCAGGGAUCAACGAUAGCGUGGUAAAUGAGUAUAGGUCUAUGAUGCUGAUUGGUAAUAUUACCUUAGCUAGACUCAUGACCUAUGCCCAGCAAGUAGAAGAGCAAAAGUUUAAGACUAGGGAGAGGCAGAACAAAAGAGCAAGGUCAGGUAAUUUCAACUUUGCUCACCCCAAGUCAGAUGGAGGAAACCGUUCACAAUUUUGCUCUAAUUCAGCCAUUCCAACUUCUUCCUUUGCCAAUGCUCCAGUGCCAAAGUUCAGAGACGGCAAUAGAGAUAAAACGCCAGGCUCUAAAUCUCAGGGUAGUGUUAGCAGUACCCGAACGAAUCCCCUUUGUCAGACUUGUGGUAAGAACUACAAGGGAAUUUGCUGAGCCGGUAGUGAUGUCUAUUUUGGUUGUGGUAAGCCAGGCCACAGGAUUAGGGAGUGUCUGCAGUCAAGUCUUCAGGGUCAACAAAAUCAUUCUACAGCUCAGUCCAGUCGCCCAAACCAGUAGGGUGCCAUUUCCAGUGCUUCCGGUGGGCAACGCUCAAACAUACUCUAUGCUCUUCAGUCUCGGCAGGAUCAGGAAAAUUCUCCUGAUGUCGUUACUAGUAUGUUACAGAUUUUCCAUGUUUAUGUUUAUGCUUUGCUAGACCCAGGUGCAUCUUUGUCUUUUGUUACUCCAUACAUAGCAGGCAAUUUUGGAAUUAGUUCCGAAGUCCUAGCAGAGCCUUUCUCAGUCUCUACCCUAGUGGGUAAAACCAUCAAAGCUCGGCGGGUAUACAGGAACUUUCCGGUUAUGAUAUCUCUGAAAUCUAUAUCAGCAGAUUUAUUGGAGUUAGAGAUGACUGAUUUUGAUGUCAUUCUCGGCAUGGACUGGCUUUAUUCCUGUUAUGCCACAGUCGACUGCAGAAAUAGGAUAGUUUAAUUUCAGUUCCCGAAUGAGCUCAUCCUAGAGUGGAAGGGUAGUAUUUCAGCGUUCAGGGGUCAACUUGUUUCCUACCCCCGGGUAAGAAAAAUGAUUUCUAAGAGGUGUGUGUAUCAUCUCGUGCAUGUUAAAGAUUCCAGUUCUGAAUAUCUCAGCCUUGAAAUAGUCCCUGUUGUUAAUGAAUACUCAGAUAUCUUUCCCGAAGAUCUUCCAGGCAUUCCUCCCUAAAGGGAAAUAGACUUUGGCAUAGACCUUCUUCCAGAUACUCAAACUAUUUUUAUUCUGCCAUACAGAAUGGAACCAGCAAAACUCAAGGAACUAAAAGAUCAGUUGAAGGAUCUCUUAGAUAAGGUAUUCAUCAGACCUAGCAUUUCCCCAUGGGGUGUGCCAGAAUUAUUCAUGCGCAAGAAAGACGGUUCUCUUAGGAUGUGUAUUGAUUAUCAUCAACUCAACAAGGUCAUGUUCAAGAACAGAUAUCCUCUUCCCAGGAUUGAUGAUCUAUUCGACCAACUUCAGGGUGCCAGUUACUUCUCCAAGAUAGACCUCAGAUCAGGCUAUCAUCAGCUCAGAGUUAGAGAAUGUGAUAUUUUGAAGAUAGCUUUUCGUACUCGGUAUGGUCACUUUGAAUUUUUAGUCAUGUCAUUUGGUCUUACCAAUGCCCUAUCAACUUUUAUGGAUUUGAUGAACCGUGUGUUCAAGCAGUAUUUGGAUAUAUUUGUCAUAGUCUUCAUAGAUGAUAUUCUAGUCUAUUCUUGUACAGAGCGUGAUCAUGCAGACCAUCUCAGGAUUGUUCUUCAGACUCUCAGGGAUCACCAAUUAUUUUCUAAGUUCAACAAGUGUGAAUUUUUUCUAAGAUCAGUAGCAUUCCUUGGCCAUAUUGUUUUCGGGAUGGAAUUAGAGUAGAUCUUCAGAAAAUCGAGGCAGUAAGAAACUAGCCCAGACUCGUAUCUACAUCAGAUAUUAGGAGUUUCUUGGGUUUGGCUGGCUAUUAUAGAUGGUUUGUCGAGGGAUUUUCUUCUAUUACAUCUCUCAUGUCCAGAUUGACUCAGAAGAAGAUUAAGUUUCAGUGGUCAGAUUCAUGUGAGAAGAGCUUUCAAGAGUUGAAGACUCGACUCACCUCCGCUCUAGUUCCAGCUAUUCCAGAUGGUUCAGAGAGUUUUUUAGUCUAUUAUGAUGCAUCCAGAGUGAGUUUAGGUUAUGUCCUCAUGAAGUAUGGUAAGGUCAUAGCCUACGCCUCCAGAUAGUUAAAGCCACAUGAGAAGAAUUAUCCUACUCAUGAUCUUGAGUUAGUAGCGGUAGUUUUUGCCUUGAAGAUUUGGAAGCAUUAUCUCUAUAGAGUUCAUGAAGAUGUCUUCACAGACCAUAAAAUCCUCCAGUAUGUCUUUUCCCAGAAAGAUCUCAAUCUUUGCCAGAGAAGGUGGUUAGAGCUCUUGAAGGAUUACGACAUGAGUAUUCUUUAUCAUCCGGGCAAGGCCAAUAUUUUGGUCGACGCUCUCAGUCGACUCUCCAUGGGUAGUAUUUCUCAUGUUAUGGAUAGUAAGAAAAAGAUAGCUCAGGAGAUCCAUCAGCUUGCUAGACUAGGCGUUUGCUUAGUCGAUUCUUCAAAGGUUGGUGUAUGUGUUCAUAGUAGUUUAGAGUCAUCUCUAGUUUCCAAGGUGAAAGAGAAAUAAGACAGGGAUCCUAGCCUUGUUAUGCUCAAAGAGUCAGUUUAGAAUCAGAAAUUUGAGGUUUGUCCCCAGGGGGAGAUGGUGUUCUUCAUUGUCAGGGUCGUUUAUGUGUUCCAGGUGUAGAUGAAUUGAGGUAGAGAAUACUUGCAGAAGCGCAUGGUGCACGAUAUUCUAUUCAUCCAGGGGCCACUAAGAUGUACCGCGACAUGCGGGAGAUCUAUUGGUGGAGUGGGAUGAAAAGAGAUGUUGCAGAGUUUGUGGAUAAGUACUCUAUAUGUCAGCAGGUUAAGAUAGAGCAUCGGAAACCUAGUGGUUCCAUGCAAGAGUUCACCAUUCCUACUUGGAAGUGGGAAGAAUUUAACAUAUACUUCGUGAUGGGUUUGCCUAGAACUCGUCAUCAGCAUGAUUCAGUCUGGGUCAUUAUAGAUAGAAUGACCAAGUUAGCUCAUUUCCUUCCUGUUUGUACUUCUUAUUUUGCGGAGGAUUAUGCCAAACUCUAUAUCAGGGAGUUGGUCAUAUUACACAGUGUUCCACUAUCUAUCAUCUCAGACAGAGGUACCCAGUUCACUUUUCACUUUUGGAAAGCGUUCCAAAAGGGCCUCGGUACCCAAGUCCAUCUCAGUACAAUAUUUCAUCCUCAAACAGAUGGUCAAGUAGAGAGGACCAUUUAGACUCUUGAAGAUAUGGUAAGGGCGGGUACAAUUGACUUCAAGGGAAGUUGGGACGACCAUUUGCCUUUGAUUGAGUUUACAUACAACAAUAGCUAUCAUUCUAGUAUUCAGAUGGCUUCAUUCGAAGCUCUUUAUGGUAGGAGAUUUAGAUCUGGGAUUGGUUGGUUUGAAGUUAGUGAGGCCUCAAUCAUAGGUCCUGACUUAGUAUACGACACCUUAGAGAAAGUUUAGUUGAUCAGAAAGAGACUCCGGCUGCUCAGAGCCGACAGAAGUCCUAUGCAGAUAUUCGUAGAAAGGAUCUUGAGUUCGAGGUCAAUGACUAUAUCUAUCUUAAUAUCUCUCCCAUGAAGGGAGUGAAGAGGUUCGACAAGAAAGGGAAACUCAGUCCUCGGUAUGUCGGUCCCUUUAGAAUUCUUUGUCGCUUUGGCAAGGUAGCUUAUGAGCUUGAGUUGCCUUCAGAUCUAGCCUCUAUCCAUCCAGUCUUCCAUGUCUCUUUGCUAAAGAAGUGCAUAGGUGACCCAGCAGUUGUUGUCCCUAUUCAUAGCAUCGACAUUCAGAAUAGCCUCUCCUAUGUAGAGAUUCCAGUUGAAAUCUUAGAUUAUCAGACUCGUAGAUUGAGGAACAAAGAAGUCCCUCUAGUCAAGGUUCUUUGGUGAAAUCAGUCUCCUGAGGGAGCUACUUGGGAAGCAGAAGCAGAUAUGCGUACCAAGUAUCCUUACCUCUUCCCCGCCAAUUCAGAUCAAGCUCAAGGUAACAGUUUUCCUUAAUCUUAUUUAGUUUCACGCUCAUGUUUCCAUUAUAAACUUGGUACCUAUUAACCUUUUCAUACUCAGUCAUGCAUUCAUAUGUCAGUUGUCCGUGCAUCAGAUAUGCACGAGAUUAGUAUGUUUAGCAUGUCAGUCAUGAGAUCAAGUUUUAGUUCUUCAUGUUCAGUUUAGGUUCUAUUGUCUUGUAUCCCUUCUCAGUAUAUUCUCAUUCGAGGACGAAUGUUCCUAAGGGGGAGAUAUUAUAAUACCCCGCAUGUUUCAAAGCUAGGAAGUGAAUAAGUAUUCCUACGUAUGAAAUCUCCUAUCCUAUGAUUCAUACUUGAGUACAUGACUUACAAUGAAUAUCUUAGUGAUAGGAUAGCUUAUGAUGCAUUAAGCAUGUUCAUAUGAGUCACUUAAGGUAAUACAAGCUAAGAGUUUUUGAAUCCAACAAGUUUUAGUGUUCGAUUUUUCAAGGGUCAUCUUUGAACGAGUAUAAGUCGAUGUUAAUAUGGUAUUUUGGCUGAUUUAUACCCACCAAAUUUUAGAGAAUCGAAUUAGCUUUCCAACGAUACCAAUUUUGCCUCAAUCCAAUACCCAAGCAAAAAGUUAUGCCCAUUUUUGUGAGAGAUUAGGCGCCGCCCAACCCAAGCAUUGGCGAUUGGUUAGGCGCCACCCAACCUAGCUUAGGCAAUCACUUGGGCACCUCCUAAGUCAGUUCUAGGUGCCAAAAACACUCCGUUUAGAGUUAUUUUAAGGGUAAUUAAGUCUUUUAACACUCCUUACACGUCCCUAAACUUAACCCUAUGAAAUAUAUAACUUCUAAACAUAUUACAACCCUAGUAUCAUCUCAAAGCUCAUCAUCCAAGAGCACUAAAAGAGAAAAANNNNNNNNNNNNNNNNNNNNNNNNNNNNNNNNNNNNNNNNNNNNNNNNNNNNNNNNNNNNNNNNNNNNNNNNNNNNNNNNNNNNNNNNNNNNNNNNNNNNNNNNNNNNNNNNNNNNNNNNNNNNNNNNNNNNNNNNNNNNNNNNNNNNNNNNNNNNNNNNNNNNNNNNNNNNNNNNNNNNNNNNNNNNNNNNNNNNNNNNNNNNNNNNNNNNNNNNNNNNNNNNNNNNNNNNNNNNNNNNNNNNNNNNNNNNNNNNNNNNNNNNNNNNNNNNNNNNNNNNNNNNNNNNNNNNNNNNNNNNNNNNNNNNNNNNNNNNNNNNNNNNNNNNNNNNNNNNNNNNNNNNNNNNNNNNNNNNNNNNNNNNNNNNNNNNNNNNNNNNNNNNNNNNNNNNNNNNNNNNNNNNNNNNNNNNNNNNNNNNNNNNNNNNNNNNNNNNNNNNNNNNNNNNNNNNNNNNNNNNNNNNNNNNNNNNNNNNNNNNNNNNNNNNNNNNNNNNNNNNNNNNNNNNNNNNNNNNNNNNNNNNNNNNNNNNNNNNNNNNNNNNNNNNNNNNNNNNNNNNNNNNNNNNNNNNNNNNNNNNNNNNNNNNNNNNNNNNNNNNNNNNNNNNNNNNNNNNNNNNNNNNNNNNNNNNNNNNNNNNNNNNNNNNNNNNNNNNNNNNNNNNNNNNNNNNNNNNNNNNNNNNNNNNNNNNNNNNNNNNNNNNNNNNNNNNNNNNNNNNNNNNNNNNNNNNNNNNNNNNNNNNNNNNNNNNNNNNNNNNNNNNNNNNNNNNNNNNNNNNNNNNNNNNNNUACUUAUGAUAUUAUAAAUUAUGGACUCUACUCUUAUGAUCAAGUUAGUCAUGUGUGUCAGUUUCUUUCCAUCGCGUCCUGGGGGUACUUGUACCCAAAAACUAUAGUUGUGUUCCUAGAGCCAUGUCAUGUUUCACGAUAUCUGAACUCAUGCUAUGAUUCCAUAGACUUCAGUCAUUCAUGUGACUCAGGAAAACCUCAUGAUCUUAGUCAGUUGUCAGACAUCAGUAACAUUCUGCCAGUCAACGGAAUUCAGUAAGAUUAAGUCAUGCACAAUGAGUUAUUCAUGUCCAGUCCCUCCAGAUGGGAGUAGAGGUUAGCACCGAGUGAACCUAAGGAUGAGAACUCACCCGCCAGUUCAGGGUAUAAUUCUUAGUAGUCAUCCUUGUGUUCUAGAAAUACGUAGCCAGCGUAGGUAGAGACAUCUUAACCCAUCAGAUUAGGGUUGAUGAGGUGGCUUAACCCGUAAGUUUAAGGUUCCAACCAUUCUCAUUGAGUACCCGCCAGAUAAGGGUCACUCACAGGUUGUCCUUACACAUGGCACGGUAUUGACACUCCUCCAGUCGGGGCAUAGAUUGGGCCGCAGCUUAGCCAUAACGGCAUACAUGGGGCAUGUCGGUUAAACACUACUUCCUACAGUUUCAGUAUCAGUCUCAGUAAAAGAACUCAGGGCGUUCUUCAGAUUUUAGUGUAUACAGGACUGUUUGAUACAGUUAUUCAUGUUAUCAGUUUCAGUAUUAGUCAUGACAGUUAUCAGUAAAAUAUGUAUUAGCUUACAGGUCAUGCUAUCAUGUAUUCACGGUCCCAGUUUCUAUAUAUGUGUGUUUGCACUCCCACGUUCAUAUUAGUUAGUCAGUGUUGUUCAUGCAUGAAACCCUUUAUGUUUAGCCUACCUUCCUCAUAUACUCAGUACUAUAGUUUUAUUGACGUAUUUGCGCUAUGGUGUUUUCUUUUCAUGUUACACCAUAGAUUCCGAGACACGAGCUCCAGCCCAGUAGUAGAGGUAGCAUCCCAGUCACAGAGACAUAGUGAGUCGUCAUUGAUUCGAGGACAGUAUGAUUUGAUUCAUUUAUUUAUUUCUUCAGUUCAGUUUUACGGAGUUGGUAGGAGACAUGUUCCUUCAACUCUUUAUUCAAAUAGUUUAGAGGCUUUCAAAUUUAUGUUCAGAUUUACGUUCAGAUUGAGUUGUUUUGGGUAUUUUCACCGACAUGAUUUUAUUCAGUUGAACCUUAUGGCCUUACAAUUCUAUGUAUUCCGCAUUAUUAUAUCAUGAUUUGCAGUAUACAGGUACAGAUAUCAGUCAUGGGUUAGCUUGUAGUCCCUCGGGGUCAUGAGUACCGUGUAGCAUUUCGGUUCAGCGAAUCAGGGUGUUACAUAAUGCUGCCUCAAAUCACGGUAUAUCUUGGUUGCACCAGGAUGUAUAGAAUACUUCGAAUAAUGAGCCCCAUCUAGAAUAAUGGGAAUAAAAUCAUCAACAGGAGGUACAAAAUCUCAUCCCUUAAUCUGCAACACACCGUCACCAUCAAGAAUGUCCUUCUUGACGUUACCUAGCAAAACCUUAUCACGAAUCUUUCUCAACUUAGCGUCCUUAAAUUGGUUAGCAUUAAUUUGAUUAAGAAAUUUAGAACUUGCCUCAAUGCUGGCUAGAAUUCCUCCUCUCUCAGUCACUUCAAGUCAAUAAACUUUUUAGCAAGAGUUUGAAUCUGUCUAGCCAACGGACGCCUGCUAGCAUUCAAAUAAGCCAAACUACCCAUACUUUCUGACUUUCUUCACAAUGCAUUAGCGACCAUAUUAUCCUUUCCCAGAUGGUAGAAAAUGGUGAUAUCAUAAUCUUUAAGCAACUCUAUCCAUCUAUGCUGUCUCAAAUUCAAAUCCCUCUGCGUGAAUACAUAUUUUAAACAAGGUGAUCAGUGAACACUUCACAAUGAACCCCAUAUAAGUAAUGCCUCCAUAUCUUAAGAGAAAAAACCACAACAACUAACUUCAAAUCAUGAGUGGGAUAAUUAUUCUCAUUGGGUUUCAAUUGCCUCAAAGCAUAAGCAAUAACAUUCAUUUCCUGCACCAACACAACACCUAAACCAGAAUGUGAGGUAUCACAAUAAAUAAUAAAAUCCUUAGCCCCUACCGACAAGGAAAGAAUAGGAGCGGUAGUCAAAAAGGUCUUGAGCUUUUGAAAAAUCUGCUCACACUUAUCAGACCAAAUAAAAGGUAUAUCCUUCUGAGUCAACCGCGUCAUAUGAGUAGCAAUAGAAGCAAACCCCUUCACGAACCUGCAGUAAUAACUCUCUAAGCCAAUAAAGCUGCAAUCCUCUGUCACUGAAGUAGGCCUAGACUAAUUCUUAACUUCUUCAAUCUUCUGCGGGUCUACCAUCACCUCUUCCUUUGAAACCACAUGCCCCAAAAAGUAUACAUAAGCCAACCAGAACUCACACUUAGAAAACUUUGCAUAAAGAUCUUUCUCUUUUAACAAACCCAAAAUAAUCCUUAAGUAAUUCUUAUUCUCAUCUUUAUUCUUAGAAUAAAUUAGAAUCUCAUCAAUAAAGACAAUCACGAAAGAAUCCAAGUAGUAUUUAAAUAUCCCAUUCAUCAAACUCAUAAAAGUAGCUGGGGCAUUAGUCAGCCCAAAAGAUAUCACAAGAAACCAUAGUGCCCAUACCUAGUUUGGAAAGCAGUCUUAGGAAUAUCGUCAGGCCGAAUCUUAAGCUGAUGAUUCUUGGACCUUAAAUCAAUCAUAAAAAAUAUGGAUGCACCUUGUAUUGGUCAAAACAAUCAUUGAUACGGGGCAACAAAUACUUAUUAUGGAUCGUACCAUUGUUCAACUGCCUGUAGUCUUUACACAUUCAAAGACUACCAUCAUUUUAAUUCACAAACAAGAUAGGAGAACCCCAUAGAGAGGCACUCGGAUGGAUAAAACCCUUACUUAACAAAUCCUGCGACUGAACCUUUAGCUCCCCCAACUCAGUCAGAGCCAUCCUAUAGGAAAGAAUGGAAAUAGGGCGAGUACCUAGCUCUAUAUCAAUAUUGAAAUCAAUGUCACGGUCUAGCGGCAUACCAGGAAUAUAUGCAAAAAAAACAUUAUGGAACUCACACACCAUAGGAACUGACUCAAUAGAUGGGACCUUUGCAGAAGUGUCCCAAGAUGUGCUUGGAAGGCCAAUCAACCUCUCCAAAUUAACCUCUUUGCACGCAGAAAGGAAAUUAGUUUCAUUGGAGAAGGACUAUAAUCAACCUCCCACUCAAGUCUAUCCAUUCCUGCCAUAGCCACAGUUACUGUCUUAGAAUGAUAAUCUAAUAUAGCAUGAUAUGGAGACAACAAACUCAUACCCAAAAUUAUAUCAAAAUCUACCAUUUCUAUAAUCACUAAAUCUUCCCAAGUUUGAUACUCUAUAAACAUAAGAAAACAAGAAUAAUAAACUCUAUCAACAACAACAGAAUCACCAACAGGAGUAGACAAGUAAAUUGGAAAGUCAAGAAAAUCACACACCAUGUCCAAUCCCACAGCAAACGUAGAAUACAUGCAUAAAAAAGUAGAGCCAGGAUCAUAUAAUAUAGUGGCUGUCUGGCCAUAAAAAAUAAUUGUACAUAUAAUAAUAGACUAACACCAGUCUGAACAUCACCCUUGCCAAGCUGACCACCACCUUGAUGGGGCUGAUUACCACCCCUACCUACCAGAUGACCACCACGACCACCCUGUGGAUGAGCUCUACCAUUUCUACUACCUCCCACACCUACUAAAACGAGAGCUCUAGGAGCCUGCUAUUGGCUAGACUGGCAAAAAAAUCCUCACAUUAGGACAAAACCUCCUAACAUUACCGACUUUGCCAUAUUUGUAACAUAUACGAUCCAAGAUAGGAUAUUGAGCUUAUGAAGAUGAAGCGAGAUAACCACCAAAGUCCAAAAAUGGCUGGCUAGCUCCUGACGAACCACCCACAACAUCGGAUGGAGUGGGCAGGGUAUCCCUGUGAACUCUGACCACUGGAAUAAGAACCACUAAAACUUUCUCCUCUAUGGGCUUUUUUUCUGAUGCCUUAGUAUAACCCUCUUGCCUUAUGCCCUCUACCUUCUUGACAAAAUUAACUAUGUCCUGGAAAGACCUACCUGAAGAUGUCAUCUGAAGAGUAGAACUCUGGAGACCUAUAUUAAACCCCUUCACAAAAAGAUGGAUCCUCUCCUCCUUAGUUUUUAGCAAGAUAGAUACAUACGGAGACAAUGAAUGAAUUUUGGCCUCACAGGUUGCAACUGAUAUGUUCCCCUGCUUCUGAUUAGCAAACUCAUCCCUUUUUCUAUCUCUUAAAGUAUGAGGCACAUACUUUUCUAGAAAAAUUAAGUAAAAUCGUGUCCAAGUCAAGGGAGCAAAAACUGCACUCCUACAUUCAACAUAGGCCCUCCACCACAUCUUGGUGCCCGUAAAAUUGAAAAGUAACUAGUUCUACACCAUAACACUCAACCACACCUAUCUUGGGCAGCCUUUAAUGACAGUGAAUAAUAAACUCGUAGGCAUCCUCGAACUUAGUUUUGUAAAAAAUAGGGGUUUUCAUCUUGAUAAACUUAUAGAAUAACUCAUGCUCAUCUUCGAUUAUCACCGUACCCACUACCUAUCUUGGAAAAAUAUCUGAUCCUGAUGCUUCGUCCAUCUGAGGGGAUACAACAACAACAUGUUGCAUCCUAUGCUGGACUAUGGCUGCUGCAAGCAUAGUCCCUGAUCCUACCAAAUUACUUAGAAAACUUAGAACCUGCUGAAUCACAGCGACAGACAUCAGAAUUGGAGCUGCUCCUAUCAGAAUUGAUGCAGCCCCAUUAUGAACCAACACUUGCUUAUUCUAUACUAGCAUAUCUCCAUCUUCUGCAACCUUAGGUAGGAGAGAAGAUACUGGCCUCUCUCUAGCUAGUCUCAUAGAUUGAGCUCUGCCUCUAGUGGAUGCAACUCUUCAUCCUUUACUUUGUUCUUCUCUUGCCUGGUUUUUACCUAUAACUGCAGCCUUAACAGCCCAUUCAUGCACCUAAACUCUCACCCCAUUCUUUUGAGUUCUUACCAUCUGCGAAAAAAGAGUGAAAGAAGUUAGAUACAAUUUGGAAUCAGGAGAUACCAAUUAAAAUCAAGUAAUAGCAAUUAAGAAAGAAGAAUUGAUUUUUUCUAUUGCCCUAUAGCCUAUCCAAGAAAUGUACAGACGUCUCUGUAUCAUUUCACAAGACUCUACUUAAAAUGUUCUCGUAUGAAAAGAAUGACGAACCUAGGGCUUUGGUACCAACUUUGUCAUGACCAAAAUGGCCAUGAGUGUCACCCACACUAAUCUUUCUAUGGGGAACUAUCUAAAUCAAACUAUUACCCAACACAUAGUCAAUACUGAGAUGACAUUAUCAUAAAAUCAACAUAAUGACAAUAAUCCAGGACUAAUCAUUAUUAAUGCGAAAGUUAAACAAACUACUUACUAAAAUCCCCAAGACCCGAAAGUCAACGUACAAGAACUACUAACAAAGAUCAUGUCUAAAGAGAUAUAAAAAAAUAAAGUAAAUAAAGAAUGUAUUUAUUGCCUAAAAUAUGGACAAGAACAAAUGAGAUGACCCAUGGCAGCCUGAAGAUGGAGUACCCACCCUUGGAUCAAGAUCUACUAUCAAACUCUAUAGGUGAGGUCGUGUCUAAGCCUCUGGAUCGCUUUUUGCACUCAACAAAAGAAUAGUAUAGGGUAUUAUCAGUACAAACCACUAUAUACGGGUAGACAUCAUAUGAAAACUCAACUUAAUAGCAUGUACACAACAUAAAUCAAAUAAUAAGUAGACAUGCAUCAUCACAUAACAACAAUUCAACGAAUCAACAACAUAGUAAUAACAGUUCAAAAAAUACUUACAACUAAGCCACAUAACCAUUAAUAGUAUCAACCAAACUAUAAACAUCCACAUAAUAAACACAAAUAUGUACACACAUGCUAUGAGACUUAUUUUUGCCCAAAUAGUCAUGACCUGUAUGGAAUAAUCUAUGUUCAUGUACUGUACCUACGUGGUACCUGAUCCAGCAUAUACAUAUCUGUAUCGACAUGGUACUAGAUCCAUCAUAUACAUAUCCAUAACAGUGUGGUACCCAAUCUAAUAUAUACAUAUCCAUACUGUCAUGGUAACCGAUUCAACAUAUACACAUCAGUACCAGCAUAGUACCCAAUCCUACAAAUACACAUCUUCACUGGAGUGGUACCCGAUCUAACAUAUACAUAUCCAUACCAGAGCGGUACCCAGUCCAAUACACACAUCUGCACCGGAGUGGUACCUGAUCCAAUAUAUACACAUCUGUACUGGCAUAGUACCCGAUCCAACAUAAACAAGUAAUAGCAAAAUAAAAUUUAUGCUACCUCAUAUCACAUAAUACAGAGUACCAAGUUUAUAAGUACACUUAAAGUCAUAAGUUAAUUUCAUCAAGUAAAUUUUCAAUAAUCAUUUAUACACGCCUCAAUAAUCCAAACAUCAUCAAUUUUAAGCAUGUCCAAAUAACAAUCAACAAGUAUCCAAUUUAGGAGUAUACAUACAAUUAAAUCAAGUCUAAAUUCCAAUAAAACUGUAACCUACCUCAAUCGAAGAAUCCAAAUGAAAGCUAUUUUGUAAAAGUCUUGUCUUUUCGUAAAGUUUCUGAAUGAUCACAACCUAUUCAAAUAUAUAAUCCCUAUAAAAUUGUAAUGCCCCAAGACUGCACCCUGGGUGUCACACAGUUCUUACGGCCCUAAUAGACCACAAGCUAACCCAUGACUGGUACCUACUAUGAGCACUGAAUAUAGUACUGAAAUAUAUAUAUGUGGAAGAAAUAUAAAAAUGCCAUAAGGUUCUAAAAAUACUGAAAUAAUAGUAACUGAGCAUAACUAAUAAUAACAUCUUAAAACUAAAUAACUAUCUAUGCUAGUUUGAAAGCCUCUAACUGUCUGAAUAUGGAGUUGAUGGGACAAACCUCCAACUAACUCCAGCUAAAAUAACUACUAAACUACUAGAAUACUAAAAUAAGUAAACUCUAUCCCCGAAAUAGGAGGACUCACCACUAUAACGGCUAUUGAUAGAUUGAGCUGCUUUGUACGAUUUGGAACCUGAGCAUCCGAACCUGUGAUAUGAGACAUCAUAAUACAAAGAAAGAGUAUGCAUCUGCAACGCCCUAAAAAUGAGUCUCGAAACAUCACAAGGUGAUCAAGAAUAUUAGUAGCCCUAAGCUAACCCUGUUCGACUUCUACUAAGUCUGAAUCUUAUAAUAAGGGAAUAUAAAUAUUAAAAUCAUACUAAAUAUGGAAAUUUAUCUGAGCUAACUGAGAAUAUCUAGAUAUAAUCUUUGAAAAAUACUAGACUAUAUAGUUUGAACAAUUAAUACUGAAUAAUAUGAAUCAUAACUAGCAGUCUAACAAGCCUUGACUACUAAUAACAAGACAGUCACUAGGAUAAACCCCCCAGCUAACUCAAACUAUCUGAAUCAUCUAUACUAAUAAGCUGGAAAACUGAAAGACUAAGUCCCUGAAUUAUGAGGACUCACCAACUGUCGAGAUGUAGAUGGAGAUGCUCAAAAUCACUCACGUUGCUGGAACUAGGCACCUGAACCUACAUUAUGAGACAAUAUAGCAUAUAGAUGUAUAUGUGGAUCAAUACUUUGAGAAUGUACUGAGUAUAUAGGGGUCAAUGCAUAAAUAUAAUAAUAUCUUAACGUCAUUGCAAUUUAUAAAAUAAUGCAUGCUAUAGGUAAAUGACUCACAUAAGUUGUAAUACCUAAAAGUUGAGAAUCAAAAUCAUGAGUAGUAAAUCAUACUUUAUAAAUCCAGUGAGUCAUAACAUUUAGUUCUAAAAGCUAUACUAGUGUUCUGUCUAUAAAUCAUGUUGACUAAGUGUAGAAAGGACUAACUUUUAUAUCUAAACUCUUAAAGCCAAAAUCUGUAGCUAAAGGAUUAUAUAAAGCAAUGUCUGAAUAAAAAUGUGAGCCUUUACACUUAGUUUAUAAAAGUUGUUCUGUUAUUCUUUACUCUUUUUCGUAAGCUAUAGGAAAAAUGUACUCAAAAGCUAUUUAUUUACUUAUACUAUUAGGGAAAUACUUUUAAAAACUAUUCUGAAAGUCUUUACAAUUAGGCUGUAGGGAGGUUCUUCUAACCGACAUAAACCAUAUGAGCUAUCACGGAGUCCAACGACUUAUUUUUUAUGGGAAAACCUCACAUUGCGGAGAGGUGUCAUACUCUUGCCAAAGAGUAUAACCUAAUCUAAGUGAGCACAUCUGUAUCUGUCAUACAUAUAGAAAUGGGAAUAAUCUGAUAAUUUGAAUCUAUAUUUGCUCGUAGUUCUGGGGUAUAAGAACAUACCCAACUUGGUGGUAAAUACUACUCCCUUUAAUCUAUAUGCUCAUUCUCUUGGAAAUCCAUUUUAAAAUCUAGUAUAAUGGUUCAUUACAAAAUCCAACUGUAUAAUUGCUAAGUUAAACUGAAAUCUGAAAUAGUAAUGUGGAUUCAAUGUGUAAGUUGAUAUCCAAGAUCAAAUCUUUAUCAAAAAUCUAAAAAUAAUAUAGUCAUGGGAUGGUUAAAAGCAUAAUCUUCUUUAAAUAGCAAUAUCCAAUUAGGUCUUAAUACCCAUGCAUCAAAUUCAUGUUGAAAUAUAAUAUAAAUUAUGCUUUAUAAUGAAGGUAUUGACAAUUCAUCUCAAAAUCUAGAAUAUACUACAAUACGCAUGAAAAUACGAAAAUAGACAUGCAAUUCAACUUCUAGAUCACUUGAAAUCUCAUAAUCUUGCAAAUAACAAUAAUGCGUAUGAACUCUAAUUUGAAACUCAUGUAUAUUCAUACAAAAUCAUGUAAAUUUGUAAUUAAAAACUAGUUUUGGGGACAAGGAUGAAAGAAUAUCCUUGUUCAUAAACCUAACAUACCUUGAUUGAUGAAAUUGAAUACAAAGUUUGAUCUUGAAUUCCUAUUUAAGCUUUUGAAGAUGCCCUCUUAAAGUUCUUGAAUUGGUAAUCCUUAAUUUUAAGCUAUCUUGGAAAAAUAGUGGAGGAAAUUGGAUUUCUUGGAGGUUAAGUUUUGAGCUCUAGGGUUUUCUUUGAGAAAGAAUUGAUGAAAAACAAGCAUAAAGUGCUUAGAAUGAGCUGAAUCUUGUGUUAUCCAUGAAUUAGGGGCUUGGGAAUUGACCAAAUUACCCUUUUAAAAUUUAACUCAGAAAAUUGGAAGCCGAUUUUUCCACCCACCGCGAUGUGCCACCAUCACAGUGGCUUACUGGAAAUUGAAAAAUGGGAACUGGAAAAUAAAGGUGACGUGAAGCUAUCGCGUUAAGCCACUUAAAUGCUAUUUAGGCCGUUAUUGAAAUGCAGUACCAUCGCGUUGGGCUACUAGAUUCUGAUAAUCGGGAAAUAGGACUUCAACAUGACAUGAUACAAUCGUGGAGGUCCAAUAAAAAUUGACAAUUGCGAUUUUGUCCUUCACCGUGAUGUGGUGCUUGUUGAAAUGCUAUACUGUUUUACUAAAGUUGCCAUAAAUUCUCAAACGAGUAUCGGAUUAAGGCAAAAUUAGUAUCGUUGGAAAGCUGAGCCAAUUAUCUACAUAUUGGUGGGUGUAGAACUUGAAAAUUCUAUAUGUAUAAAAGUUUAUUCACUUUUGAAGCUAACCCUUCACAUUAUAUGAGCUAAAUUGAGCUAGGAAAAAGUGCAGGGUAUUACAUUAUCUCUCUCUUGGGAACAUUCAUCCUCGAAUCAUGCUGGCUAAACUAAAAAUUCUAAGGAAUCUGAGGCUAUAUGCUAACAUGCACAACUGAAACAAACUUCAUGACUUAAUCUAGAACAUACUGAAUGACCGAGCUAAUCUGAGAGUGCAUGAAUUUACAUGAGGAUGACUAAAUAGGUGAAUCUGAUACUGGAAAUGAAUCGAGUUAAGGAAAACUAUUACCUUAAGCUGAAUCUAAGUUCUUGGAGAAGAGAUAAGGAUACUUGGUAUGCGUGUCUGCUUCUGCUUCCCAAGUAGCACCCUCAACAGACUAAUUUCACCAUAAAAAUUUGACCAAGGGAACUUCUUUGUUCCUUAGUAUUCAAAUUCUAUGAUCAAGAAUCUCUACUGGAACUAACUUCUUCGUAUGAAAGUCUAUUUUGAAUAUGUGUACUGUCUAGAUGGAAUACAAUAGCUGAAUCAUCCAUGCACUUCUUCAAUGACACAUGAAACACUGGAUGAACUGAGGACAAAUCUGCGGGUAACUCAAGCUCAAACUCUACCUUUCCCACGCGACUCAAAAUCUUGAUGGGGACUACAUAUUAGGGACUAAGCUUCCCCUUUUGCCAAAUCUCUUAACCCCUUCUUGGGUAAAACUUUCAAAUAAACAAGUUCAUCAAAAUAAAACUAAAGAUCUCUUCUUCUUACAUUUGCAUAAGAUUUCUAAAAACUUUGAGUUACUUUUAAACUCUCUUUAAUCAACUAAACUUUCUCCAUAGCUUCAAACACCAUAUCUGGCCCAAUUAAUGCGACCUCACCCACUUUGAACCAAUCGACUGAUGAUCUACAUCUAUGCCCAUAAAAAGUUUCAAACCAGGCCAUCUGAAUACUAGCAUAGUAACUAUUACUGUUGGACAACUCAAGCAAUGGCAUGUGGUCAUCCCAAUUGCUUUUGAAUUCAAGAACAUAUGCCCUCAACAUAUCUUCUAAGGUCUGAAUGGUCCUCUCUAUUUGACCAUCUGUCUGCAAAUGAAAAGCUUAACUAAGAUGAACUUGGGUACCAAGACCCUUCUAAAAGGCUUUCAAAAACUGAGAGGUAAACUGAGUAUCCCUAUCUGAGAUGAUGGACAAUGAAACUCCAUGCAAUCUAACCAACUCUCUAAUGUAUAGCUUAGUAGAAUCUUCUCCUAUGUAGGAUAUGUGAACUAGCAAGAAAUGAGUUGACUUAGUCAAUCUAUCUACAAUAACCAUAUAAAAUCAUGCUGACGAUGUAAAUGGGGUAAUCUAGUCACAAAGUCCAUAUUCACCUCUUCCCACUUCCAAGUGAGGAUACCAAACCCCUAUACUAGAAUCCUUAUGCUGACUUGGUCUUUAACUAACUCCUUUAGUUUGACUAUACUAGAAUCCUUAUCCUGAUUUUCUUUCAAGUCCAAAACUAGAGAAGAUUUAGAAUUACUCUGAACCCAAACAUUCCCUUCAGCUGAAUCAACCAACCUCACACCCAAUCUAUCUAACCUUUGAACUUCCCAAACUAACUCUCUCUUAUCAUUCUUCAUAUGAGCAAUACUUUCCAUAGAAAAUCUACUAAGGGAAUUUUCAACUAUAUUGGCCUUGCUCGGAUGAUUCAACACACUCAUAUCAUAACCUUAAAGAAUUCUAACCAUCUUCUCUGAUGAAGAUUUAACUCCCUCUAAGUACACACAUACUGCAAAGUUUUGUGGUCCGUAAACACAUCAAUAUGUACCCCAUAAAGAUAGUGCCUCCAGAUUUUUAAUGCAAACACUACAACAACAAACUAAAGAUCUUGGGUCAGGUAGUUAUUUUCAUGAAGCUUAACUUGUCUAGAGGCAUAGGCUGUAACCUUACCUCUCUACAUCAAAACACAACCCAGACCAAUUCUAUAAGCAUCAUAAUAGAGAACGAACCUAUUUGUACCAUUAGGUAAUGCUAAAACUUGGGCUGAAGUAAGUCGAGCCUUCAACUCUUGAAAACUCUUCUCAUAGGAAUCUGAUUACUGGAACUUGACUUUCAUUUGGGUCAAUUUGGACAUAGGGGGCGCAAUAGAAGAAAAACCUUUAACAAAACGUCUGUAAUAGCAAGCUAAACCUAAGGAGCUUCUAAAGUCUGAAGGAGAAAUAGGUUUAGGACAAUUCCUUACUGCUUCUAUAUUUUGGGGAUCAACCCUAAUACUGUCGUUGGAAAUAAUAUGACUGAGUAAAACUAAUGAUCUUAGCAAAAUUCAUAUUUGCUGAAUUUGGCAAACUUGUGAUUUCUAAGAGUUUGUAACACAAUUCUAAGGUGGUCUACAUGAUCAUCCUCACUAUGAGAAUAGACAAGAAUAUCAUUUAUAAAGACUAUGUCAAACAUGUCCAAAUACUAUUUGAACACUCUGUUCAUCAAGUUCAUGAAAGCUGCAGGGGCAUUUGUUAGUCUGAAGGACAUGACCAGAAACUCAAAAUUACCAUAACGGGUCCUAAAAGCUAUCUUUAAAAUACCACAUUCCCUUUUUUUAAGCUGAUGAUAGCCGAAUCUAAUGUCUAUCUUAGAGAAAUAACUUGCACCUUGAAGCUGGUCAAAUAAGUCAUCAAUUUUAGGAAGAGGGUAUUUGUUUUUGACUAUGACUUUAUUCAGUUGAUGAUAGUUCACAUUCACACAGACCCAUCUUUCUUUUGCACGAAUAGGAUGAGAGCGCCCCAUGGAGAAAUACUAGGCCUUAUGAAACCUUUAUCUAAAAGAUAUUUGAGCUACUCUUUUAACUCUUUAAGCUCGACUGGAGCAUAUGGUAAGGAGGAAUAAAGAUAGGUUGAGUAUCUAGAAGAAGGUCAAUAGUGAAUUCUAUUUCCCUAUUGGGAGGUGCCCUUGGAAAAUCUGUAGUAAAAAAUCAGAAAAUUCAUUAACUAUAGUGAUUGAUUGAACUGUUGGAGUCUCAGACUUAGUGUCUUUGACCUGAACUAAAUAAUAGAUACACCCUUUUGAGAUUAAUUUCCUGGCUUUAAGAUAGGAUGUGAAAUGACUUUUGGGAGACACUGAAUUUCCUUCCCAGUCAAAGACUGUCUUAUCUGGAAACUAAAAUUUUACCACUCGGGUACGAAAAUCUAUAGAUGCAUAACAUGAAUGGAGGUAAUCCAUGCAUAUAAUAAGGUCAAAGAUGACUAUAUCUAACUCUUUUAGGUUUGCUAACAUGAUUUUAUAAAGGAUAGUGAUAGGAAAAUUUCUAUAGAUCUGUUUGGAAAUAACUGACCCACCCACUAGGGUAGAAAUUAAGAAGGGCUCAGGGAUCUUUUCUAGAACUAUUUCAAAAUUCACUGCAACUAAUGAGGUCAUAUAAGAGAAAUUCAACCCAGGGUCUAACAGCACAUAAAUAUCAAGAUGAAAGACACAAAGCAUACCAGUAACAAUAUCUGGUGAAUCCUUCUGCUCCUGAUAGGAUGGUAAAGCAUAAAAUUGAUUCUAGCACUGAUCACCAUCAAUACUAAAUAAUAAGCCUUGAGGAGGGGCUGGGCAACCAAAAGAAGUUGGUGCACUAGUAGCGUGUGUUUAGGGACGAACAUCCCUUUUGCCCUACUUAGCAUAUGGAAACUAUUUGAUUCCAUGUCCCAACUUACCACAACCAUAACAACCUUUAUGGCCCAACAAAUAGUAACUAUGAUGAAUCUUACCACACUUAGCACAUGGAGGAUAACUUGGCUUUCCACUCGCACUAUUCUGAGAUCUGGACAUAGAAGUCUUACCCCACUGCUCCUGUCUAGCUAUGGGAGCAUGAGCACUAGCUAAAAAUAGCACUGGUAUAGAUGAACAAUUUUGAAACUAUGAACAAUUCCUCCCCCAUACUUUAUUUGGCCAUACUCAAAUUGCCCUAUUCUAGCCUUCUUAUUUCCCCUCUCUCUUUUCUUUAACUUUACUGCCUCAAUUUGCUGAGCAUGAAUCAUCAACCUAGCAAUAUUCAUUUCCCCAAUAAGCAUGGCAGUCCUACACUUAUUGACUGCCAAACUAGAUACUCCAGUAUCAAAUUUACUUAUACUCGCCCUAGGGUUAGCCAUAGUAUCAGGGGCAUACUUAGAUAACUGGUUGAACUUAAGGAAGUACUUUUUCACUAUCAUAGAGCCUGCCUUAGGUUCAAAAACUCCUCUAUCUUAGCUUUUCUCAUUUCAUGCAGAAAAACCUAUAUAGAAAUGUAUUUUGAAAUACUUACAAACUCAUAGGAGCUGCAUUCUCACCUCUGCCAUUCUUCUACAUAACCACCCAAUCAUAUGCUACAUCCUUCAAUCUAUAGGAUGCUAAAUCUAUAUUCUCUGCCUCAGAAACAUGCAUAAUCUGGGUGGUCUUCUCUACCACAUCUAAAUAAAGUUAUGGGUCCUCACAUACUUUUGACCCAAAGAACUCUGGCGUAUUUUUUCUCAUAAAGUCUCAAAUUUUGGCUGCUACUCAAUCACCAUUCUAUUGAAGUGGGAAUGCCACCUGAUGGUUUCCCUAAACAUUAAAAGUCACAACUUGGGCCAACACCUGAAAGGCAGCUCGAAAUUCAGCAUGGGAUCCAUUCUUAUUCAGAGGGUCAGUAGGCUGAGGUUGCUAGUUAUCGUUUCUAUGAGCAUUAUCUCGAUGAGGAGGCAUAUUCAACUGUCACAUAAUAGCACGAGUUAAAAUUACAUAGAGAUACUGUGAGAAUGAUAGAUCAUGAAAGAAAAAGAUGAUUUCUAAAAAUGUCCCGUAGCCUCUUGCUCAUAAAUGUGGUGCACUUUAUACCCAUGCUAAAGACUCUAUGUAAUGUGGCUUGUAUGAAUCCCUAGGACUCUUAUAAACCUUAAUCUAUGAUACAAACUUUGUAAGACCCCAAAAAUGGGUCUCGAGAUACUACACGAUGCUCAAGACUAUGCGUAGCCUCAAGGAAACCCUAUCUUCCUUCUACUAAGUUUGAUUCUCAUAAAAAAAAUUAUAGAUAUAAAAAUCAUACUAAAUAUGGAAAUCUAUCUAAGCUAACUAAAAAUAUCUAAAUAUAAUCUCUGAAAAAUACUCGACUCUAUAUCUUGAACAAUCAAUACUAAAUAAUCUUAAUCAUAACUAGCAGUCUGACAAGCCUCUACUACUAAUAACUAGAGAGACACUGGGACAAACCUUCAAAAUAACUUGAACUGUCUGAAUUAUCUAUAGUAAUAAGCUAGAAAAUUGAAAGACCAAGUCCCCAAACUAUGAGGACUUACCAACUAUUGGGAUGUACCUGGAGAUGCUCAAAAUCACUAACACUGCUAGAAUUGAGCACCUAAACCUACAUUAUGAAACAAUGUAGUACAUAAAUGUAUAUGUGGAUCAGUAAUUUGAGAAUAUACUAAGCAUAUGGGGGUGAAUGCAUAAGUAAAAUAACAUCUCAAUGUCAUUGCAAUUUAUAAAAUAACGCAUGCUAAAUGUAAAUGACUCACAUAAGCUGGAAUAUCUGAAAGCUAAAAAUCAAAAUCAUGAUAAGUAAAUCAUACUUUAUAAAUCCAGUGAGACAUAACAUUUAGUUCAAAAAGAUGUACUAGUGUUCUAUCUGCAAAUCAUGCUGACUAAUAGUAGAAAGGACUCACUUUUAGAUACAAAAUUUGAAAGCCAAAAUCUGUAGCUAAAGGCUUAUAUAAAACAAUGUCUGAGUAAAACUGAGCCUUUACACUUAGUUUCUAAAAGUUGUUCUGUUAUUCUUUACUCUUUUCUGUAAGCUUUAGUAAAAAUAUACUUAAAAACUAUUUAUCACUUUUACUAUUAGAGAAAUACUCUUAAAAACUAUUCUGAAAGUCUUCACUGUUAGGCUGUAGGGAGGUUUUUCUAACCGACAUAAACUAUGUGACCUAUCAUGGAGUCCAACAUCUAGUUUCCUUUUGGGAAAGACUUACGUUGGGGAGAGAUGUCAUACUUUAUACUCUUGACAAAGAGUAUAACCUAAUCUAAGUGAUCAAUCUGUAUCUGUCAUCCAUAUAGAAAUGGAAAUAAUCUGAUAAUCUAAACCUACGUUGGAUCAUAGAUUUGAGGCAUGAGAACAUACUGAACUCGGUGCUAAAUACUACUCCCAUUAAUCUAUAUGCUCAUUCUGUUGGAAAUACAAUUAAAAAUAUAGUGUAAUGGUUCAUUAUGAAAACUAACUGUAUAAUUACUAAGUCAAAUUGAAAUCUGAAAUUGUAAAGUGGAUUCAAUGUCUAAGUUGAGAUCAAAGAUCAAAUCUUUAUAAAAAAUCUAAAAAUAAUCUAGCCAUGGGAUGCUUAAAAGUAUAAUCUUCUUGAAUGGCAAUAUCCAAUUAGGGAUUAAUACCCAUGCAUCAAAUUUAUGUCAGAUUAUAAUAAAAAUAAUUCUUUAUAAUGAAGAUAUUGACAAUUCAACUCAAAAUUUGGAAUUUACGAUAAAACGCAUGAAAAUACGAAAAUAGACAUGCAAUUCAACUUCUAGAUCACUUGAAAUCUCAUAAUCUUGUAAAUAAAAAUAAUGGAUAUGAACCCCAAUUUGAAACUUGUGUAUAUUCAUACAAAAUCUUGUAAAUUUGUAAUUUAAAACUAGUUUUGGGCACAAGGAUGAAACAAUAUCCUUGUUCAUAAACCCCACAUACCUUAAUUGAUGAAAUUGAAUAAAAGGCUUGAUCUUGGAUUCCUAUUUGAGCUUUCGAAGAUGACCUCUUGAAGUUCUUUAAAUGAGAAUCCUUAGUUUUAAGCUAUCUUGGAAAAAUAAUGGAGGAAAUUGGAUUUCAUGGAGGUUAAGUUUUGAGCUCUAGGGUUUUCUUUGAGAGAUAAUUGAUAAAAACGAAGCAUAGAGUGCUUAGAAUGAGCUAAAUCUUAUGUUAUACACGAUUGAGGGCUUGGGAAUUGACCAAAUACCCUUUUUAAAAUGUAACUUGGAAAAUUUGAAGUCGAUUUUGCCACCCACCGCGAUGCACCACCAUUGUGGUGGCUUACUAGAAAUUAACAACUGGGAACUAGAAAAUCAAUGCGAUGUGGAGCUAUCUCGGUAAGCCACUGAAAUUCCAUUUAGACCGUAACCCUAAUUUAGAACCAUUGUGUGGGGCUACUGUAUUCUGACAAUAGGGAAAUGGGAUUUCAAUGUGACUUGCCACAAUCACGGAGGUCCACUGCAAAUUGAGCUGACCUUUGACAUUCUAUGAGCUAAAUUGAGCUAGAAAAAAGUGCAGGGUAUUACAAUGUCAGUACAUGGAAUGUACUGGUAUGCUAAGUGAGUUAAGGAUGAUAUACAUGGGUUCAUAUACAUGAGUUGAUAACUGACUGAAUGGGCAUCGUGAAUUAACUGGAUGAGAGUACAUGCAAAACUAUAACUACAAAAUAUGCUAUGUUGCGUAUAUAGAUAUACAUCAUGUAUUUGAAAUUAUACUAAAAUUGAGUGCUGAAUUUUGAUGGUUGAGCAAUUGAUAACUAAUAGUUAUGGUUCUAUAGAACUGUUUGAGUUCUUUACUUAAUACUGAGACUGGAACUGUAACUGUGGGAGUGUUCAUCUAAUUAACAUACCCCGAUAUCGACUAAUUUGGGGUCGAACCUAUGACCCCACUUUGAAGAGUGCUAGCACCUUACCAUGGAAUACUAAUAAUGUUGGGUCAACACUAAUAUGGCAGGAAGACUUAUAAAGUGUAUAUAUAUGAUUACCUCAACCCUUGUCUGGAUGGAGGACGACUUACCCUACACUGGCUAUGUAGUUCUAUAAUGCGGGACUGCUACUAAGGGUAAAACCCUCUGCUGGUAGGAAUGCACCCAUCCCUGGGUUCGUUCGGUGCAGAAUCCUACUCCUAAUUGAAUCGACACUUAACUGACUACUAGAUUGUACUAGGCUUGACUGAACUAACACUAAUCGUGUUCACUAAUUGUACUAGACUGAGUUUACUGAGUUUUGUUAACAUACUGAGUACUACUGCUCUUAACCUUUACUGGGACUAGUCUAUAACUACUGCAACUAAUUAAACAACUAGAUUUUGGGUAAUAAAUGUCCCCAGAACUAGAUAUCAUAAUAGAUAAAACAAUGCGAAUCUUGAAAGCAUAGCAAUAGUCAAUUGUCCACUAUUCAAUUACUUAGACAUUUUGUCCAACAUUUGGAGGUCAUGAAUUUGUACAUAAAUGAGAAGAUAUGCUAUCAUGUCAUGAUAACACUAUUCAUUUCACAUGGACAUUCUAUCAAAUACUUGGGGAGCAUAAUUAAUGCACAUGAUAAUGAACAAGACAUAAGCAUUAUGAAAACUUAAACUUACAAUUUCAAGGGUUUUGGCUUGGGAAUUACAUCAAUCAACAUACAUGCUAUCUCAUAUUCAUAAGGUUAUUAUUAAAUCUGGAAUUGAAAACCCAUACAACAACAUAAACAUGAAUACAACCUAAUUUGCGCAUGUAAAUCAUAAAACUGAAAACUUGUAGUUUUAAAAAUGGUUCUUGAACUCCAAGGGUGGAAGGAAACCCAAGGAUGAACAUCUAACAUACUUGAGUGAUGAAAUUCGUAAAGACUGUUGGGGAUUUCUCAGAAUUUGAUCUUGAGCUUGAUGAACUAGGAUUUAUUUCUUGAGAGGAUUUUGCGAAUAAUGAAUGAAUUUUACCCUUUGGGGGGGUUUAAUUUCUUGUUUUAGCUGAAGUGGAUGAGGGGAAAAGGACCUAAUUGCCCUUGGAAAGUCAGAGUUUAAUGAACAAAAUAUACCUAGCGAUGAGGCAGGUGACAUACCGCGUUGAUGGUGUCGAUUUGAUGGUUGACGUGAAGCAUUAAUUCUAUCGAUGUGAUAGCCAAUGCGACGCACCCAAAUAGCGUUGGCUUGCUAUUUUGGUCAUCCAAACAUGAGCCAAACGGUGUCCAAAAAUUCUAAAACUCACCCAAUAUGUCCUAUUGACAUCCCUAAUCAUGAAUCAAAUUAAAAAUUUAUAAUCUAAGGUCAUAAGGAUCAUAAAUAGGAUCAUCCAAUUACGAAGGCUAAAAAUGAUUCUAAGUCUUAACACUAGCUGAAUUUUUCUAAGUCUAGGACCGCUUAUUACAAACUAUAUGGGACUGAAUUGAUCUAGAACUUUUAUGGGGUUUUAUAAUAUCUCCCCCUUGGGAACAUUCAUCCUCAAAUGAGACUGAUUGAAAUAGGUGGAACUGAGGAACUGUACUUACACUAACAUGCAUAACUGAAGCAUGACUGAAUUCUGGAGACAUGGCUUAUGACUCAACUAUUUCAUGAAUGCAUAAAUGAUAUGAGAAUGUUAUCCAGCUAUAACUGAGUAAGGAAUAUAGUAAAUCUAAGGUAGGUUGUUACCUUAUGUUGAGUCUGAGUUUGUGGAGAAGGGGUGAGGAUACUUGGUUCGCAUGUUUGCCUCUGCUUCACAAGUAGCUCCUUCAAUGGACUGAUUCCUCCGAAGAACUUUGACCAAAGGAAUUUAUUUGUUCCUUAGUCUACGAAUUUGAUGAUUAAGGAUUUUGCCUGGGACUUCCUCAUAAGAGAGACUAUUUUGAGCAUCUACACUCUCUAUAGGGACUACAACUGCUAGGUCACCUAUGCACUUCUUUAGAAAGGAGACAUGAAACACUGGGUGCACUAAUACGAAGUCUGUAGGUAAGUCAAGCUCAUAAGCUACCUUACCGAAACAACUUAGAAUCCUAUAAGAAACAAAAUAUUGGGGACUAAGCUUCCCCUACUUACGAAAUCUCUGCACCCCUUCAUGGGAGAGGUUUUCAAAUAUACAUAACCACUAAUCUCAAAUUCAAAAUCUUUCCUUCUCAUAUCUGCAUAAGAUUUCUGUCGGCUCUGGACUAUCUUAAUCCUCUCCCUGAUUAACUAUACUUUCUAUAAGGCAUCAAACACCAAGUCAGGCUCCACUACCGCGACCUCACCUACCUCAAACCUACCAAUGGGAGAUCUACAUCUUCUUCUAUAGGGAGCCUCAAAUGGAGCCAUCUAAAUACUCGAAUGAUAGCUGUUAUUAUAUGUGAACUCAAUAAAAGAUAAGUGGUCAUCCCAGCUACCCUUAAAUUUAACAACACAUACUCUCAACAUAUAUUCUAAAGUAUGAAUGGUACUUUCUGCUUGACUAUCUGUCUAAAGGUGAAAGGCUGUACUGAGGUAGAUUUGGGUACCAAGACCCUUUUGGAAGGCUUUCCAAAAAUGAGAGGUGAACUGCGUACCUCUAUCUGAAAUGAUGGACAAUGGGACAAUAUGUAGCCUAAUGAACUCACUGAUAUAGAGCUUAGCAUAGUCCUCGGCUAAAUAAGAGGUAUGAACUAGUAAGAAAUGGGCUGAUUUGGGCAGCCUGUCCACAAUAACCCAAAUCAAAUCAUGCUGACAAAGAGUAUGAGCCAAACCUAUUAUGAAAUCUAUGUUCACUUUCUCUCACUUCAAAGUGGAAAUACUAAACUCCUGUAUAGACCUACUAGGCUUCUGAUGUUCAUUCUUAACCUAAUGCCACGUUAAUCACUAAGCUGCAAACUCUGUAAUAUAUCUCUUUAUCCUACUCUACCAAUAGACUUCUCGCAAGUUACGGUACAUCUUAGUGGCCCCUGGAUGAAUAAAGUAAUGCGCACCAUGCAAUUCAUCAAGAAUUUACUGCCUCAGGCAAUCCAUACAUGGCACCGAUAGCCUACCCUAGCAACGCAACAUACCAUCUCCCCCUUGGGAGAAAAUCUUUACUUUUUGGUCUCUGACUGACACCUUCAGCUUAACUAAACUGGGAUCUCUAUCCUACUUUUCUUUUACCUUGAACUCUAAUGAAGAUUCCGAUCAAUUCUACACCCAUACACUACCCUUAGCCAAAUCAACUAGAUGGAUACCUAGUCUCGUAAUCAGAUGAACUUCCUGAACUAACUUCUUCUUACCAUCUUCAAUGUGUGCAAUACUACCCAUGGACAGCCUACUGAGCGCAUCUGCCACUAUAUUGGCCUUGUCGGGGUGAAAUAGAAUUCUCAUGUCAUAAUCCUACAACAACUCUAACCACCUUCUCUGAUGGAAGUUCAGGUUUUUUUGAGAUAAUACAUAUAGUAGGCUUUUUUCCUGUGAACACAUCAACAUGCACCCCAUACAAAUAGUGCCUUUAAAUCUUUAAGGCAACACAACUACUACUAAUUCAAGAUCAUGGGUGGGAUAUUUCAAUUCAUGGGGCUUAAGUUGUCUAGAGGAGUAGGAAAUAAUCUUAUCUCUCUGCAUCAAAACACACCCUAAACCAACUUUGGAAGCAUCACAAUAUACUACAAAUCCAUCUGAAUUAUCUAGUAAAGUCAAAAUUGGGGCUUUGGUGAGUCGAGUAUUCAACUCUAGAAAACUCUACUCUCAAGAAUCUGACCACUGGAACUUUACUUUCUUCUGAGUUAAUAUAGACAUAGGGGAUAAAACAGAUGAAAAAUCAUCAACAAAACAUUGGUAAUAGGCAGCCAAACCCAAGAAACUCCUAAUAUUAUAUGGAGAGAUGUGUUUGGGCUAGUUUCGUACUGCUUCAGUCUUUUGAGGAUCAUCUCUAAUGCCAUCACCAAAAACAAUAUGACCAAGGAAAACUACUGACCUUAGCUAAAACUUGCAUAUCUGAUGGGCUUUGAGAGUCUAUAAUUCUAUUUUGAAAUGGUCUGCAUGGUCAUUUUCACUAUGGGAGUAGAUAAUAAUGUCAUCGAUAAAGACUAUGAUAAACAUGUCCAAGUAUUGCUUGAACGCACGGUUUAUCAAGUUCAUGAAAGUUGCUGGGUCAUUGGUAAGAUCAAAUGACAUGACUAGAAACUCAAAGUGACCAGACUUGGUUCUAAAAGUUUUUUUUGGAAUGUAACAUUCUCUGACUCUGAGCUGAUGAUAACCUUAUCUAAGGUCUAUCUUAGAAAAGUAACUAACACCCUGAAGUUGGUAAAAAAAGUCAUCAAUUCUAGGAAGUGGAUACUUAUUAUUGACUUUGACUUUGUUCAACUGAUGGUAGUCUAUACAUAUUCUAAGAGAACCAUUUUUUUUUUGCACAAAUAAAAUUGGUGCACCCCAAGGGGAUAUGCUAGGCCUGAUGAACCCUUUGUCUAAGAGAUCCUUCAACUGUUCUUUCAGCUCUUUGAGUUUAUCUGGAACCAUUCUAUAUAAUGGAAUAGAGAUGGGUUGAGUAUCAGGAAGAAGGUCCCUUCUGAAGUCAAUUUCCCUUUUGGGAAUAACUCUAGGGAGAUCUUCGGGAAACACAUAUAGAAAUUCAUUUGCGACAGGAACUGACUCAAGAUUAGGAGUCUCAGAACUAGAGUCUUUGACCUGUACCAAAUGAUAGUCACACCCCUUCGAUAUCAUUUUGCUCGUUCUAAGGUAAGAAAUAAGUUGACCCUUAAGCGUUGUGGUACUACCCCUUCAUUCUAGGACAGGUUCAUUUUGGGAACUGAAAAUAAAUAGCUCUGUUUCUAUAAUAAACUGAGGCAUAACAUUAAUAGAGCUAAUCCAAGCUGAGAAUGACGGUAAAUUUUAUUAUCGCUAACUCUACUAAGUCUGCUAAAGUAACUUUCCAGACUCUAUAAUCGGACAGUUCCUGUAAACUCACCGAGCUAUGAUAGAGUUACCCACCGGGGUACAAGCUUAGAAAGGCUCAGUUAGGAUUUAGGGACUGACUCUGAAGUUGAUGGCUAUGUAAAGGAUUACAAAAUAUAGAAAAUUUCCUAGAUAUAAUAAAGCAUAAACAUGUAAAUGGUAAACUUGUAAAGUACCAGUGGCCACAUCAGGAGAACUUUCCUGAUCCUGCCAGGACUUGAGUUCCUAGAGCAUGUUUGGAUGAUUAUGUUGACUUUGUGAACCCACUUGAGGAUAUUUUCUGAUUCUAUGACCUAGUUUUCCACACCUAAAAUAUACAUUACAGUCAGCCCUACAGACACCAUGAUGAUUUUUGCCAUAUUUCUGGCAGAGAGGAUUUGUUCGAGCACUGCUAACACUAGCCUAAGAUUUAGAGUGUGUUGCCGUAUUCUUAUUAUCAUUUUUUAAUUUAGGCACUGAGCACUAGCUGAAGAAGGAGCUGGGACUAAAGACUUUAGGCAGAAAUGAGGAUGAUUACCACCUUUAGCUUAUGCUGAGUAAACUUGAAGCUACCCAUUCUAUCCCUCUUUUUCUCCCUCUCUUUUUUCUUAGUCUUUUUUUCCUUAAUCUAUUGGGAAUGGACCAUCAACCUCACUAGACCUAUCUUUUUAAUCAACAUUGUAGUCCUACACUCAUUGACUACACUGUCAGACACACCAGACACAGACUUGCUUAUCAUAAACCUGCUAUCAAUUACUACAUGGGGAGCAUACCUGGCCAACUAAGUAAACUUUAGAGAAUACUCCUUCACUAUCAUGCUGCCAUGCUUCAAGUUAAUGAACUCUAAAAGCUUAUAUUCCCUCAACUCCAACAGUAAAAACAUAUCUAGAAAGGCGGUAGCGAACUUCUCCCAUUCUAUAGGCCCUACAUCUACGACCCUAUCUACCUUUCACUACUUAAACUAUGUAUGAGUCAUAUCCUGCAACUCAUAGGCAGCUAACUAAACAUACUCACUAGCAGUUACCCCAAUAAUGUUUGUUACUUUCUGCACCAUGACAAGGGAUUCCGGUGGGUUCUCUUCAGACUUAGACCUAGAAAAUGAAGGAGGGUUCAUUUGGGUGAAGUACCAAAUUCUAGCUGUAGUAGUAUUGGCCACUAGGUUGGCCUGAAUAACAGCUGGGCAUUAAUUUUGAGCUGCCAUAAAAUGGGUUAAAGUGGUGAAAGCUGCUCAAAAUUCUGCGUGGGAGACAUACUCAUUCAGGGGAUAUUCCUAAACGGGCGAAGGUGAUGGCUGGCUCCAAGUUCUUUUUCCAUUGGUCUUUUUGGGAGGCAUGUUCUGUAAAUGAAAGGAAAAAUUAGAAUAGACAGAGAGUUUAACUUGAGCUCAUGCUCACUCGCAAGAUAUGAAUACUGAAAGAAGGGAACAUUUUCCUAAAAUGCCUCAUAGAUUCUUGUCCAUAAGUGUGGUGUGCUACACGCCCAUGCGCAAGACUCUAUUUGAUGCAGUUUUCAGACUCCCUUAGAAUUUUAGAACCUUAGGCUUUGAUACCAAGUUUGUAACACCCUGAGACUACACUCUGGGCAUCACACGAUCUUAUGACCCCAAAGGACCACAAGCUAACCCAUGAUCGGUACCUUCUGUGAGCAUUGAAUAUAAUACUGAAAUAUAUAUAUGCGAAAGAAUACUAAAGAUAUCAUAAGGUUCUCAAAAUACUGAAAUCUUAGGAACUGAGUAUAACUAAUAAUAACAUCUGAAAACUAAAUAACUGUCUAUGCUAGUUUGAAAGCCUCUAACUAUCUGAAUAUGGAGUUGAUGUGACAAACCCCCAACUAAUGCCAACUGAAAUAACUACUAAACUGUUGAAAUAUCGAAAUAAGUAAACUCUGUCCUAGAAAUAUAAGGACUCACCACUAUAACUGCUGUUGAUAGCCUAAGAUGCUAUGUACAGUUAGGAACUUGAUCAUCCAAACAUAUUAUAUAAGACAUCAUAGAGCAAAUAAAGAGUAUGCAUUAGUAUGCGGAAUGUACUGGUAUGCUAAGUUAGGUAAGCUGAUAUACAUGGGUUCCUAUGUAUAAGCUAAUAACUGACUGAAUGAACAUCGUAAAGUAACUGGAUGAGAGUACAUUCAAAACAGUAACAACUAAACAUAUUGAAUAUGCUAUACUGCACAUAUAAAUAUACAUCGUGUAUCUGAGAUUAUACUAAAAUUGAAUGUUGAAUUUUAAUGGCUGAGUAACUGAUAAGUAAUAGCCAUGGUUCUGUGUAUUUUUCUGAGUUCAUUACUGAAUACUGAGAGUGGAAAUGUAACUAUGGGAGUGUUCAUCUAAUUGACAUACCCCGAUAUAGACUAAUUUAGGGUCGAACCUGUGACCCCAACUGGAAGGGUGCUAGACCCUUUCCAUGGGAUACUAAAAAUGCUGGUUCAACCCUAAUCUGGAAGGAAGACUCAUGAAGUAUAUAUUUAUGAUUGCAUCAACCCUAGCAUGGCAGGAGGACAACUUACCAUAUGCUGGCUAUGUAGUUCUGUAAUGCAGGGACUGCUACUAAAGGUCAAACCCUCUGCUGGCACGAAUACCCCAAUCCCUGAGUUCGCUCGGUGUGGAAUACUACUCAUAGUUGAAUUGACACUGAAAUGAUUACUAGAUUGUACUAGGCUUGACUAAACUGACACUGAUCAUGUUGACUGACUAUACUGGGCUGAGUUCACUGAGUUCUAUGAACUAAAUGAGUACUACUAUUCUUGACCUUUACUGGGACUAGUUAAUAACUACAACAACUAAGUUAAUAUCUAUAUUUUGGGUAAUAAAUACCCCCAGGACUAGAUAGCAUAAUAGAUAAAACAUAGCAAAUCUUGAAAGUAUAGCAAUAGUCAAUUGUCCACUAUUCAAUCACUGAGACAUUUUGUCAAAUAUUUAGAGGUCAUGAAUUUGUACAUGAAUGAGAACACAUGCUAAAAUGUCAUCAUUACACUAUUCAUUUCACAUGGACAUUCUAUUAAACACUUGGGGAGCAUAAUUAAUGCACAUGAUAAUGAACAACACAUAACCAUCAUUACUACAACUUAAACUUUCAAUUUCAAGGGUUUUGGCAUAGGAAUUACAUCAAUCAACAUAUAUGCUAUCUUAUGUUCAUGUACUUGUAAUUAAAUCUUGAAUUGAAAACCCAUACAACAACAUAAAUAUGAAUACAACCCAAUUUGUGCAUUGAAAUCAUGAGACUAAAAACUUGUAGUAUUAAAAAGGGUUCUUGUACUUCAAAGGAGGAAGGAAACCCAAGGAUGAACACCUAACAUACCUGAGUGAUGAAAUUCGUGAAGAUUGUUGGGGAUUUCUUUGAACUUGAACUUGAUGAACUAGGGUUUAUUUCUUAAGAGCAUUUUGAGAAUAAUGAAUGAAGUUUUCCUUUUUUGGGGUUUAAUUUCCUCUUUUGGCUUUAAUUGUGUAAGGGAAAAUGACCUAAUUGCCAUUGGAAAAUUCGAGUUUAAUCAGAAAAUUAUGCCCAGCAAUGUAGUAGGCGACUGCACCAUAUUAAUGGUGUCGAUGUGAUAGCUGACACACCGCAUCGAUGCUGUUGAUGCGAUAGCUAACGCGAUGCAUCCAUAUAGCUUUGUCUUGCUAUUUUUGUCAUCCAAACAUGGCCCAAAUAAUGUCCAAAAAUUUUGAAACUCAUCCAACAUUACUUAUUUACAUCCUUAAUCAUGAAUAAAUUUAAAAAUUGACAAUCUAAGGUCGUAAUAAUCGAAAAUAAGAUCAUCCAAUUAUGAAGGCUAAAAAUGAUUCUAAGUCUUAAAACUUAGCUAAAUUUUUCUAAGUCUGAGACCCCUUAUUACAAGCUAUAUGGGACUGAAUUGAUCUAAACUAUUAUAAGGUCUUACAAUAUCUUCCCCUUGGAACAUUCGUCCUUGAAUGAGACUGGCUGAACUAAGAGGAACUGAGGAAAUGUACUUACAUUAACAUGCAUAACUGAAGCAUGACUGAAUUCUGGAGAUAUGACUUAUGACUAAAUUGUUUCAUGAAUGCAUGAAUGAUAUGAGAAUGUUAUGCAGCCGUAACUGAGUAUGGAACAUAGCUAAUCUAAGGUAGGUUGUUACCUUGUGCUGAGUCUAAAUUUGCAGAGAAGAGGUGAGGAUACUUUGUUUGCAUGUCUGCCUCUACUUCCCAAGUAGCUCCCUCAAUGGACUGAUUUCACCAAAGAACUUUGACCAAAGGAAUUACUUUGUUCCUUAGUCUGCGAAUCUGACAAUCAAGGAUUUCGACAGGGACUUCCUCAUAAGAAAGACUGUUUUGAACAUCUACACUCUCUAUAAGGACUACAACUGCUAGGUCACCUAUGAACUUCUUUAGCAAGAAUACAUGAAACACUGGGUGCACUGAUGCUAAGUCUGCAUGUAACUCAAGCUCAUAAGCUGCCUUACUUAAACGAUUCAGAAUCCUAUAAGGACCUACAUAUCGGGGACUAAGCUUCCCCUUCUUACAAAAUCUCUUCAUCCCCUUUAAGGGAGAGAAUUUCAAAUACACAUAACCACCAAUCCCAAAUUCAAGAUCUUUCCUUAUCACAUUUACAUAGGAUUUCUAGCGGCUCUGGGCUAUCUUAAACCUCUACCUGAUCAACUGUACUUUCCCUAAGGAAUCAAACACCAAGUCAGGCUCAACUACCAUAGCCUCACCUACCUCAAACCAACCAAUGGGAGAUAUAUAUCUUCUCCCAUAAAGAAUCUCAAAUGGAGGAAUCUUAAUACUAGAAUGAUAGCUAUUAUUAUACACGAACUCAAUCAAAGGUAAGUGGUCAUCCCAAAUACCAUUAAAGUUAACAACACACGCUCUCAACAUAUCUUUUAAAGUAUGAAUGGUCCUUUUUCCUUGACCAUCUUUCUGAAGAUGAAAGGCUAUACUGAGGUGGACUUGAGUACCAAAACCCUUUUGGAAGGCUUUCCAAAAUUGAGAGGUGAACGUCGUACCUCUAUCUUAAAUUAUUGACAAUGAGACACCAUGUAACCUAACAAAAUCUCUGAUAUAGAGCCUGACAUAGUCCUCAGCUGAAUAAAAGGUAUGAACUUGCAAAAAAAUAGGUUGAUUUGGUUAUCCUUUCCUCAACGACCCAAAUCAAAUCAUGCUAACGAUGUGUACGAGGCAAACCUGUCACAAAAUCCAUGUUCACUUCCUCCCACUUCUAAGUGGGACUACUGAACUUCUAUAUAAACCCACUAGGCUUCUGAUGUUCAAUCUUAACCUGUUGACAUUUUGAGAACUUAGCUAUAAACUAUGCAAUAUCUCUCUUUAUCUCAGUCAACCAAUAGACUUCACACAAGUCGCGGUCCAUUUUAGUGGCCCCUGGAUGAAUAGAGUAACGCACACCAUGUGCUUCAUCAAUAAUUCACUAUCUCAUACCAUCCACACAUGGAACAGAUAGGUUACCCUAGAAACAUAACACACCAUCUCCCUCUUGGGAUAAAACCUCUAAUUUCCAGUCUCUAACUAACACUUUUAGCUUAACUAAACUAUGAUCUUUGUCCUGCUUUUCUUUCACCUCAAACACUAAUAAAGACUCUAAACUAUUCUGCAUCCAUACACUACCCUUAGUUGAAUCAACCAGAUAGAUACCUAGUUUGGCAAGCUAAUAAACUUCUUGAACUAACUUCUUCCUACCAUUCACAAUGUGAGACACACUACCUAUGGACAACCUACUAAGGGCAUCUAACAGAACACUCAUGUCCUAGUCCUUCAACAACUCUAACUACCUUCUCUGAUGCAUGUUCAUGUAUUUUUAAGAAAAUACAUACUGCAGGCUUUUUUGGUCUAUGAACACAUCAACAUGCACCCCAUACAAAUAGUGCCUCUAAAUCUUUAAGGAAAACACAACAAUAGCUAAUUCAAGAUUAUGGGUGGGAUAAUUAUUUUCAUGGGGCUUAAUCUGUCUAGAGGCAUAGGCUAUAACCUUACCACUCUACAUCAAAACACACCUUAAACCAACUCUGAAAGCAUCACAAUAUACUACAAAUCUGUCUGAACCAUCGGGUAAAGUAAAAACUGUGGCUGUGGUGAGUUGAGUCUUCUCCUAAAAACUCUUCUCACAAGAAUUUGACCAUUGGAACUUGACGUUAUUUUGAGUCAAUCUAUACAUAAGGGAUGAACUAGAAGAAAACCCUUCAACAAACCAUUGGUAAUAGCUAGCCAAACAUAAAAAACUCCUGAUAUCUGAUGGAGAGAUAGGUUUAGGCCAGUUUCUCACUACUUUGGUAUUUAGAGGAUCAAGUCUAAUUCCAUCAUCGAAAAUAUUAUGACCAAGGAAAGAUACUAACCUUAGCCAAAAUUUGCAUUUAUUGAAUUUAUUGAACAACUGAUGGGCUCUGAGAGUUUGUAAUAAUAUUCUAAGAUAGUCUACAUGGUAAUUUUUACUGUGGAAAUAUAUACGAAUGUCAUCAAUGAAGAGUAUCACAAACAUGUCCAAGUACUACUUGAACGCACAAUUCAUCAAGUCUAUGAAAUUUGUUGGGGCAUUGGUAAGAUCAAAUGACAUGACUAGAAACUCAAAGUGAUUAUACCGGGUUCUAAAAAGCUAUUUUUAGAAUGAUAUAUUCUAUAACUCUGAGCUGGUGAUAGCUUGAUCUGAGGUCUAUCUUAGAAAAGUAACUGGCACCCUAAAGUUGGUAAAACAAGUUAUCAAUUCUAGUAAGUGGAUACUUAUUCUUGACUAUGACUUUGUUUAACUGAUGGUAGUCUAUACAUAUUCAAAAUGAAUCAUCUUUCUUUCGCACGAAUAGAACUGGUGCAUCCCAAGGGGAUACGCUGGGCCUGAUGAACCCUUUGUUUAAGAGGUCCUUCAACUAUUAUUUCAACUAUUUAAGUUUAGUUGGAGCCAUUCUGUAUGGUAGAAUAGAGAUGGGCUAAGUAUCAAGAAGAAGGUCUAUUCUGAAGUCAAUUUCCCUUUCAGAAGGAACACUGGGGAGAUCUUUGAGAAACACAUCUGGAAAUUCAUUUGUGAUUGGAACUCAAGAUUGGGAUUCUCAGAACUAGAGUCUUUUACUUAUACCAAAUGAUAUACAAACCCUUUGGAUAUCAUUUUUCUCGCUCUAAGGUAUGAAAUAAGUUGACCCUUAGGUGCUGUGGUACUACCCCUCAAUUCUAGGAUAGGUUUGUUCAAGAAUUGAAAAUAGAGAACUCUGUUUCUAUAAUCAACUUAGGCAUAGCAUUAAUGGAUCCAAUCUAUGCUAAGAACGAUGUCAAAAUCUGCCAUUUCUAACUCUACUAAGUCUGUUGAAGUAACUUUUUAAGACACUAUAAUCGGAUAGUUCUUGUAUACCCACCAGGCUAUGUUAGACUUAUCUACUAGGGUAGAGACUGAGAAAGGCUCUGUUAGGAUUUCGGGGGCUGACUAUGAUGUUGAUGGCUAUAUAAAGGGUUACAAAAGAUAGAGAAGCUCAUAGAUGUAACAAAGCAUAAACAUAUAAAUGGUAAACUUGUAAUGUACCAGUGACCACAUCAGGAGAACUUUCCUAAUCCUGUCAGGAUUGGAGUGCAUAGUUCCUAUUUAGUCAUUGUCUACUAGUGGCACUAGAAGCUGCACCCUAGUGAGAUAGGUGAUCAGACUGAGCUAGGGGACGAUUAUACUGACUCUAUGAACCCACCUGAGGACACUCUCUGAUUUUAUGACUUGGUUUGCCACACCUAAAAUAUACAUCACUGCUAGCUCUAUAGACACCCUGAUGAUUUUUGCCACAUUUCUGGCAGAGAGGAUUUGUUCGAGCAAUACUAACACUACCUUUAGAUUAGAAGUGUGGUGCCCUAUCUUUAUUAUCAUUUUUAAAUUUAGGCAUCGAAGUACUAGCUGAGGACGGAGCUGGGAAUGAUGACUUUAGGCGAAACUGAGGAUGAUUACCACCCUCUCACUUAGACUGAGUGAAGUAAAGUACCCUUCUCUGACUUAGGCUGAGUGAAGUUGAAGCUACCUUUUCUAGCAUUCUUAUUCUCCCUCUCUUUCUCCUUAGUCUUAUAUUCCUCAAUCUAUUAAGCAUAGACCAUCAACCUAGCCAAGUCCAUCUGCUUAAUUAGCAUUGCGAUUCUACACUCCUUGACCACACUGUUAGACACACCAGACAUGAACUUGCUCAUCUUAGACCUGCUAUAAAAUACCACAUGGGAGCAUACCUGGCUAACUGAGUAAACUUGAGAGAAUACUCCUUCACUAAUAUGCUGCCCUUCUUCAAGUUAAUGAACUCUAAAACCUUAGCUUCCAACAGUUUCAAUGGCAGGAACUUAUCUAGAAAGGCAGUAGUGAAUUCCUCCCAUUCUAUAGGCCCUACAUCAGCGCCCCUAUCUACCUUCCACUGCUUAAACCAUGUAUAAGACACAUCCUAUAACUAAUAGGGAGCUAAAUCAGCCCUCUUACUAGAGGUUACCCCCAUAAUUUCUUUUACCUUCUGCACCAUGUUAAGGAAUUCCUAUGGGUUCUCUUCAGACUUACACCCUGAAAAUGAGUGAGGGUUCAUUCGAGUGAAGUCCCGAAUUCUAGCUACAGUAGUAUUGCCACUGGGUUGGCCUGAAUAGUAGCUGGGCAUUUAUUUUGAGCUACCAAAGAAUGUGCUAGAAUGGUGAAAACUGCUCUAGACACAUCCUGUAAUUAAUAGGCAGCUAAAUCACCACUCUUACUGGCGGUUACCCCCAUAAUGUAUUUUACCUUAUUCACCAUGUCAAGGAAUUUCUAUGGGUUUUCUUCAAACUUAGACCAUGAAAAUGAAUAAGGGUACAUUUGAGUGAAGUCCCAAAUUCUAAAUACAGUAGUAUUGACCACUGGGUUAGGCUGAACCACAGUUGGGCAUUUAUUUUGAACUGCCACAGAAUGUGCUAGAGUGGUGACAACUGCUUUGAAUUCUGCGUGAGAGACUUGCUCAUUCAGAGGAUCUUCUUAAAUAGACAAAGGUGCUGGCUGGGUCCCAGUUCUUUUGACGUUGGUCUUUUUGGGAGGCAUGUUCUGUAAAUGAUAGAAAUAAUUAGAUCUGAGAGAGAGUUUAACUGUUGUGAGCAUUGAAUAUAAUACUGAAAUAUAUAUAUGCGGAAUAAAUCUGAAAAUGACAUAAGGUUCUCAAAAUACGAAAAUAAUAGUAACAUAGUAUAACUGAUAAUAACAUCUAAAGACUGAAUAACUAUCUAUGCUAGUCUGAAAGCCUCUAACUGUUGAAAUAUAGAGUUGAUAUGACUAACCCCCAACUAACUUUAGAUUAAAUAACUACUGAACUGCUAAAAUACCAAAAUAAGUAAACUCUGUCCUUGAAAUAUAAGGACUCACCACUAUAACUACUACUGAUAGCCUUAGAUGCUAAGUAAGGUCAGGAACCUGCAUGUCCAAACAUAUUAUAUGAGUCAUCAUAAAGCAAAGAAAGAGUAUGAAUCAGUAUGCAGAAUGUAGUAGUAUGCUAAGUUAGGUAUGACUGAUAUACACGGGUUCAUAUGCAUGAGCUGAUAACAAACUAAAUGAACAUCAUGAAGUAACUGGCUGAGAGUACAUGCAAAAUUGUAACUACUGAACAUAAUGAAUAUUCUAUACUACGCAUAUGGAUAUACAUCAACUAUCUAAGAUUAUACUAAAAUCGAGUGCUAAAUUUUGAUGGCUGAGUAACUGAUAACUAAGAGCCAUGGUUCUGUAGAAGUGUCUGAGUUCUUUACUGAAUACUGAGGUUGAAACUGUGAUUGUGGUAGUGUUCAUCUAACCGACAUAAACCGAUAUAGAAUAAUUUGGGGUCCAACCUGAGACCUCAAUUGGAAGGGUGCUAGCACCUUUCCAGGGGAUACUAACAAUGCUAGGUCAACCCUAAUCUAGAAGGAUGACUCAUGAAAUAUAUAUAUAUAUGAUUGCGUCAACCCUAGUCUGGUAGGAGGAAAACUUACCUUACACUGGCUAUAUAGUUCUAUAAUGCAGGGAAUGCUACUAAGGGUCCAACCCUCUGUUGGUAAGAUGCCCCGAUCUCUGAGUUUGAUCGAUGAAGAAUCCUACUCUCAAUUGAAUUAACACUGAACUGACUACUAGAUUGUACUAGGCUUGAUUGAACUGACACUGAUCGUGUUGGCUGAUUGUACUGGACUAAGUUCACUGAGUUCUAUUAACUGAUUGAGUACUAAUGUUGUUG